CUCCCUCUCUAAGAGGCAACUUUCAGGCGAAUGGGGUUUUCCAUAAGAAAGCUAGCCAAUUAUAAGUCUUUCACUCAUGCUGCUAAGCCUACUUCCUAUCAGCAAUUUCAUAGGAGCGAGGUUGGUCCAACCUAUGUACAGCCUACUCGAAACGGCUAUGCGAGGGGUUUUACCGAUCAGAAUUUGGCAGACUAUUCCUCAAUGCAAAAGAUGUCUUCUUCUUCUUCUUCUUCUUCUUCUAAUCCUGCUUGGGGUGGUGACGAGAAUGUUGAUGAGAAGGCAACAAGCUACAUUUCCCAUGUCCGAGAACGUUUGCGUGGAGAGUGUUGAUUCUCUAAAUUAGCAAGUACCAGGAAAUGCUUAAGGGAGAGUAGUGCCAUUUCUAUGACUACGACCCUUUCUUUCAUCAAGAAUUUAUAUUUUCUGUACACUUUUUUGCAAUUAAACAAUUAAUAUACACUGAAGUUUGUCUUAGUUACCAAUGCAAAUGCUCUGUUCUGAUUUUCUGCAUCUUCUCCUGCCUUUACACAAUAAGCCUUGUUUAUGCUCUGUAUGAUAAUAAAAACUCAAAUAAGAAGUAAAACUUAAUCUCAUAAUCCAAUCGUUUUAAUAAAAAAUUUUCAGUUAAUUUGAUUAAAAUUGAAAAUUGUUCACCCCGAUAGGUUGCUACCACUUUAUUUCUUUUCAACCAAGGUCGAGCAAAAUUAAGGUUCAUAGACAAAACAUGAUUUGCCAAUUACAAGUGCAGGCUAAAGUGGGAUUUACUUUUAAUUGCAGUCCUUGGAAAAAAACCCCACAUAAGCCUAUAAUUGAUAUGUUUAUUAAGGGUGAGCGUGAAUUGUCUGUGAGCCCAGCUCGGUAACAUGGACUUGUGACCAGGAGGGGCAUUAACGUGCUCGAACGUCUAAGAGGGUUGGAGUUAACCUUUGGCGCCCCUAACCUUGCGAAAAGGGGACCCUAUCUUUUGAAUUCUGCUUUAUUCCUUAAUUUGCUUUUUGCUCUGUUCACAAUAGUGUUAGUUCGAUUAAAAAGAUUACAUCCUAAUUCUUUAUUCCUUAGUUUGCUCUGUUCACAAUAAUAUUGAAUACCUUGGGAAAAGGGACCCCUAUCUUUUGAAUUCUUCUUUAUUCCUUAAUUUGCUCUUUGCUCUGUUCACAAUAGUAUUGAAUAGUUCGAUUAAUAAGAUUACAUCCUAAUUCUUUAUUCCUUAAUUUGCUCUGUUCACAAUGGUAUUGAAUACCUUACGAAAAGGGACCCCUAUCUUUUGAAUUCUUCUUUAUUCCUUAAUUCGCUCUUUGCUCUGUUCACAAUAGUAUUGAAUAGUUCGAUUAACAUCCUAAUCUAAUUUUUAUUAGGCUAUCUUUUCUUUCUAUCUUUUGAAUUCUUCUCUUCUUUGUCCAUUUACUCAUUCUCGGUAUAUAAGAAGCUUUCUUCUUUUCUCAUAAAUAUCGGAUUUCUUAAGAAACGAAUAUAAUUAAGAGUUUGUGCACCCAUAAAUGCUAUUGAAGCUUAAAUGUCUUUAAAAUUUUUGCAACUCUUCCCUGCCUUUGUCCUACAUUUUCCUGGUCAAUAAGUUCUUGCAACAGUAGAAAGGUCUUCUGCCAACAACUAAAACAAGAAAAGUGAGUAUUCCUUGAGUAUAAUGGCAAGUUUCCAUGUCUAUAUUGUUUUUGGUGUUUUGGUAAUUAUGACAAGUGGAGCGGUCAUGGCUCGGGAUGUUAAUCCGAUUAAAGCAAACAAUUUUGAAACCAAGAUGACAAUGCAUUGUGUUAUUGAAGUUUUCACCAGUAUAGUCAAGACCGAAAUUGUUUUUAAUAAUUGUUGUUAUGAACUUGUCGGACUUGGUCAACUUUGUCAUAAUACAUUGGUGAAAAAAACUCUUUAAAAUCCUCUAUUUAAAAAAAAUAAUACAUCAAUGAUUUUAUCAAGAACUGCUCAAGUAUGGAAUAAAUGUAACCUACUUGGUGUGAAUGCAUUGCCCACCCCUUCUCCUUAUGAAGGUUAAUAAUUUAUUUUUAUUAAUAAAAAUUUUGAAGAAGUAAUACUUUUGGUGUCGUUCUUUUUUGGAUAAAUACAAAUAAUUUCAUUAUAAUCUUCAGUUUGUUAGUCUAUACCAUGAUAAUGAAAAGUAAAAUUUCAUGUGAAUAUAGUUUUGCGUAAAUGAUGAUGUUCAUAAAUAUAAAAGGUAUUUCAUAAAAUAUACAUACAAAUCUUAGAACUUUUAUUCAAAUCUUUAUAUAAAAUAAUAUUUAUAGACACUCCGUUUCAUCUUGGGCAAUUUUUUGUAAAAUUUGAAGUUAAAUUAAAUUAAGACCAUUUUUAUAAGUAACAAAUAUUCUAACAAUACCAAAAAAAAUGAAGUUUUCUAAUAGAGUUUUCCUAAGGAAAAUGUCAAAUAUCUACACAUAUCUUGGCCCUUUUAUUCAAAUCUUAAUAUAAAAUAAAUUUUAUGGACACCGCAUUUUAUCUGGAAUUAUUUUUUGUAAAUUUCGAAACUAAAUUAUAUUGAGAUCAUUUUUUUAUAAUUAACCCAAUUUUAACAUUACAAAAGGAAUUAACAUUUUCUGACAAAAUUCCAAUGAAAAAUUUUGUCAUUAAAAAUAUAGAAUGUAAUGUCAAUGGUUAAAAAAUUAAAAAAUAUAGAAUGUAAUGUCAAUGUAAUCUAUUCUCCCACCUUUGCUCACAAUUCAAAUCCACAAUUCAUAACAAAAAGUAAGUAUUGAAAUAUGAAACUGAAAUUCAACAUAAAAUUCAAAUUGAAAUACAUAAUGCUGAUUCGAGUUUGCUACCAUGGACAAUCCAACUAUAAACUUGAUGUGGUAUUACAAUUACAUGUGUGGAUGUUUAUCAAGUUAUCCUUUCUUUGUUAUUUAAUUUGCUCGGUCUCCAUAAAUAACUGUCUUCCUUCUUUUUUCCUUCUUCAUUUAAUGUGUUCUUUGAAUUCCUAAAAAACAACCCACUAGUAUAUGAUCAGGUGGAAUACUUAUAAAUGCUAUUGAAGCUGAAAUGUCUUUAAGAUAUUUAUAACUUAUUCUCUCCCUUUACCCUAUAAAUGAACAUUUUCCUGGCAAAUCAAUUCUUGCAAUAGUACAAAAUUCUUCUGCCAACAACCAAAACUAGAAAAGCGAGUAUUCCUUGAGCAUAAUGGCAAGCUUCAAUGUUUAUAUUGUUUUUGGUGUUUUGGUAAUUAUGACAAGUGGAGCGGUCAUAGCUCAUGAUGUUGAUCCAAUCAAAACAAACAAUUGUGAAACUAAGAUGACAAUGUAUUGUGUUAUUGAGGUUUUCACCAGUAUAUUUAAGACCGAAACCAUUUCUGAUAAUUGUUGUCAUGAACUUGUAGGACUCGGUCAACUUUGUCAUAAUGCAUUAGUGAAAAAAACUCUUCAAAAUCUUUUAUUUAAAAAUAACGAUACAUCAGUGAUCUUUUCAAGAACUGUUCAAGUAUGGAAUAAGUAUAUCCUAGUUGGGGAGAAUGUUUCACCCACUCCUUCUCCUUUAGAAGGUUACUAAUUUAUUUUUAUUAAUAAAAAUUCUAAAGCAAUAAUACUUUCGGUGUUAAUUUGUUUUGGAUAAAUGCAAAUCAAUUUCAUUAUAGUAUAAUUUUCAGUUUCUAAGUUUAUAUCAUGAUAAUGAAAAGUAAAAUUUCCUGUGAAUAUAGUUUUGGGUAAACGAUGAUGUUUAUAAAUACAAAAGAUAUUUCAUAAAUUUACAUACAUAUCUUAGAACUUUUAUUCGAAUCUUGAUAUAAAAUAACAUUUAUAUCAACCCAUAUUAUCCCAGGCAUAUUUUUGUACAAUUUGAAGUUAAAUUAAAUUAAAACCAUUUUUUAUAAGUAACAAAUAUUUUAACACUACAAAAAAAUGAAGUUUUCCAAUAGAAUUUUUCUCAGAAAAAAGUCAAAUUUCUGUACAUAUCUUAGUCCUUUUAUUCAAAUCUUAAUAAAAAAUAAUUUUUAUAAACAUAGCAUUUUGUCCGGGAUCAUUAUUGCAAAUUUUGAAAGUAAAUUAUAUUAAGAUCAUUUUUAUAUAAUUAAUCCAAUUUUAACAUUACAAAAGAAAUUAACUCUUUUUGAUAAAAUUCCAAUGAAAAAUUCCAUCACCAUAGUUGUUAAAUCAAGAUACGUAUCGUGUAUUGAAAUCCUAUUUUUUAGUAUCGAGUAUCGUGUCGUAUCAUAAGAUACGAAAAAAAAAUUUUAAUUAAUUAUGAAUAACAUUUAUAUAUGUAAAAUAAAGAUAAAAAUUGAAAAUAAUUAUAUUUUUUAACAAAAAUAAAGAUUAUAGGGCGUAAAUUGAAAAGAUAAAUAUUUUUAAUUGAAACUUGCAACAUAUUCUUUAAUAAUAUAGAUUUUUAAAUAAAAUAUACAUUUUAUUAUCUUAAUUUAUUAAUUAAAAAUUAAAAGGGAAUUCAAUUUUUGUAGUAAUUUUUUGUUUAAAAUCUAAAAAUUGAAACUCAUAAAAUAUAAUUUUUCAUAUUUCAACUAAAAAGAAAUAAAAAAUUAAAAUUUUUAAUAAUUAAUUAAAUAUAAGCUUAUAAAAAGUGUAUCGAUUGUAUCAUAUGAUACGCCCCUGUAUCGUAAGAUACAUAUUGCAUAUCGUACGAUACGUUUUGAUACUUGAUCAAAUACGAUAUAGCUAUAGGUACGUAUUGUUUUCUGCAAGUGUCAUAUCGUAUUGUAUAAUACGUAUCGUGUAUCAUACGAUAAUAAUAACUAUGUUCGUCACUAAAAAUCUAGAAUGUAAUGUCAAUGGUCAAAAAAUUAAAAAAUUUCAUCGACAAAUUUUUGUAAUUUUCAAUGCAAAAUUAGGUCGAGAAAGGUGAAAAAAUGGUUAGACAAGUAGGCUAAUUUGUCGGUAAUUAUAGUAUCAAAUCCGUCAAAAACUACGAAAUUUAUUUAUGGAAUUCCAUUCGUGAUGAGAUAAUUACGGAAUUCAAUUAAUUUUUUCCAUCGAUAAAAUUAACAAAAAUCAUCAUAAAUAAUUGAUUUUCCCACCUCUACUCACAAUUCAAAUCCACAAUUUGUAACAAAAGUAUUGAAAUAUGAAAUUGAAAUUCAACUUGAAAUUCAAAUUGAAAUAUAUAAUGUCGAUUUGAGUCUGUUGCCAUGAACAAUUCAACUGUAGACUCGGUGAAGUAUUACAGUUACCUGUGUAGAUUUGAUCCAUGAUCUAAUUUUUAGUAGGUUAUCCUUUCUUUGUCCAUUUAAUUUGCUUAUUCUCCAUAAAUAAUAGUCUUCCUUCUUUUUUCCUUCUUCAAUUAAUGUGUUAUUUGAAUUCCUAAAAAAUGACUGUAAUUAAAAGUUUAUGCUCAUUAGCACAUGAUCAGGUGGAAUACCUAUAAAUGCUAUUGAAGUUGAAAUGUCUUUAAGAUAUUUAUAACUUUUUCCUCCCUUUACCCUAUAAAUGAAUAUUUUGUUGGAAAAUUAGUUCUUGCAGUAGUACGAAAGUAUUAUGCCAGCUACUAAAACAAGAGAACUUAGUAUUCCUUCAGCAUAAUGGCAAGUUUCAAUGUUUAUAUUGUUGUCGGUGUUUUGGUGAUUAUGACAGGUGGAAAGGUCAUGGCUCAUGAUGUUGAUCUGAUCAAAGCAAAUAAUUGUGAAACUAAGAUGACAAUGGAUUGUGUUAUCGAGGUUUUCACCAGUAUAUUCAAGAUUGUAACUGUUUCUGAUAAUUGUUGUCAUGAACUUAUAGGACUCGGUCAACUUUGUCAUAAUGCAUUGGUGAAGAAAACUCUAGAAAAUCCUCUAUUUAAAAAUAACGAUACAUUAGUGAUCUUAUCAAAAACUAUUCAAGUAUGGAAUAAGUGUACUCUAGUUGGCGAAGAUGUUUCUCCCACUCCUUCUCCUUGAGAAGGUAAAUAAUUCAUGUUAAUAAAUAAAAAUUCUAAAGAUAUGAUACUUUUGGUAUUUUUCGUUUUUGGAUAUAUGCAAAUCAAUUUCAUUUUAAUCUUCAAUUUGUUAGUUUAUAUCGUGAUAUAAAAUUUAGUGUGAAUAUAGUUUUGGGUAAAUGAUGAUGGUCGUGAAUACAAAAGGUAUUUCAUAAAUAUACAUACAUAUGUUAGAACUUUUAUUCAAAUCUUGAUAUAAAAUAAUAUUUACAGACACUUCAUUUUAUCCCAGGUUUUUUUUUUUUGUAAAAUUUAAAGUUAAAUUAAAGUAAGACUAUUUUUUAUAACAAAUAUUUUAACACUAGAAAAACAAUGAUGUUUUACACUAGAAUAUUCCUUAGGAAAAAGUCAAUUUUUUGUACAUAUCUUAGCCCUUUUAUUCAAAUCAUAAUUAUAACAUAAUUUUUAUAGACACCGCAUUUUGUCCAAUAUCAUUUUUGCAAAUUUUAAAAUUAAAUUAGAUUAAGAUCAUUUUUUUAUAAUUAACCCAAUUUUAACAUUACAAAAGAAAUUAACAUUUUCCAACAAAAUUCUAAUGAAAAGUUUUGUCGCUAAAAAUAUAGAAUGUAAUGCUAAUGGUUGAAAAAUUAAAAAAUUUCAUCGCUAAAUCUUUGAAAUUUCCAAUGCAAUAUUAGGUCAAGAAUGGUGAAAAAAUGGUUAGACAAGUAGGUUUAUUCGCCGGUAAUUAUAGUAUCAAAUCAGACGAAACUACUAAAUUUACUUAUGAAAUUCCAUUGGUGAUGAGAUAAUUACGGAAUUCAAUUAAUUUUUCUGUCGAUAAAAUUAACAAAAAUUGUCAUGAACAAUCUAUUUUCCCACCUUUGCUCAUAAUUCAAAUCCACAAUUCAUAACAAAAGUAAGUAUUGAAAUAUGAAACUUAAAUUCAACUUCAAAUUCAAAUUGAAAUGCCAAAAUUACAACAUUACAGUUACAUGAGUAGAUUAGAUACAUGAUUAAUUUUUAUCAAGCUAUCCUUUCUUUGUCUAUUCAAUUAUUUGCUCAUUCUUCAUAAAUAUGAAUUUUCAUUCAUUUUUCCUUCAUUUAAUGUAUUCAUUGAAUUCCUAAAAGACAACUACAAUUAAAAGCUUAUGCCCAUUAGUACAUGAUCCAGUGAAAAGUAUUUUAAGGUAUUUAUAACUUAUUUUGUUUCUUUACCCUACAAAUCAACAUUUUCUAGACAAAUCAGUUCUUGCAGCAAUUCAAAAGUAUUUUGCCAACGACUAAAACAAGAGAAGUUAGUAUUCCUUGAGCAUAGUGGAAAAUUUCAAUGAUUAUAUUGUUGUACGUGUUUUGGUGAUUAUUACAAGUGGAAAGGUCAUGGCUCGUGAUGUUGAUCCAAUCAAAGCAAACAAUUGUGAAACUAAAAUGACAAUGCAUUGUGUUAUCGAGGUUUUCACUAGUAUAUUCAAGACUAGAACCAUUUCUGAUAAUUGUCGUUAUGAACUUUUAAGACUCAGUCAACUUUGUCAUAAUGCAUUGGUGAAGAAAACUCUUCAAAAUCCACUAUUUUAAAAUAAUGAUACAUCAAUGAUCUUAUCAAGGACUACUGAAGCAUGGAAUAAGUGUACUUUAGUUGGCGAGGAUGUUUCUCCCACUCAUUCUCCUUGAAAAGUUUAAUAAUUUAUUUUAUUAAUAAAAAUUCUAAAGGAACAACACUUUCAAUGUUGUUCUUUUUUAUAUAAAUGCAAAUCAAUUUUAUUAUAAUCUUUCAUUUGUUGGUUUAUACCAUGAUAACGAAAAGUAAAAUUAUUGUGUGAAUAUAGUUUUAGGUAAAUGAUGUUUGUAAAUGCAAAAAGUAUUUCAUAAAUAUAUAUACAUUUUUCAACACAAUUAUUCAAAUCUUGAUAUAAAAUAAUAUUUAUAGACACUCUAUUUUAUGUAGGGUAUUUUUGAAAUUAAAUUAGAUUAAGACCAAUUUUCAUAAGGAACCCAAUAUUUUAACAAUACAAAAAAUUGACCUUUUCCAAUAAAAUUUUUAUCAAGAAAAAGUCAAAUUUUGAUACAUAUCUUAGCACUUGUAUUCAAAUCUUGAAAUAAAAUAAUAUUUACAAACAACACAUUUGUCCAGCAUUGUUUGUGUAAAUUUUGAAAUUAAAUUGUAUUAAGAUCAUUUUUUAUAAUUAACCCAAUUUAACAUUACGAAAGAAAGUAACUUUUUUCGACGAAAUUCCAAAGAAAAUUUUCAUCUUUAAAAAUAUAGUAGAUAAUGUCAAUGGUCAAAAAAUUCAAAAAUUUCAUCAAUAAAUAUUUGAAAUUUCCAAAGAAAAAUUCCAUCAAGAAAGGUAAAAAAAUUGGUUAGACAAAUAGGCUAGUUCAUUGGUAAUUAUAUUAUCAAAUACAUCUAAAACUAUUAAAUUUAUCUAUGGAAUUCUGUUGAUGCUGAGAUAAUAACCUACAAAAUUUAAUCAAUUUUUCAAUUGAUAAAAUUAAUAAAAAUCAUCGUAAAUAAUCUAUUUUCCCACCUUGACUCACAAUUCAAAUCCACAAUUUAUAGCAAAAAUGCGUAUGAAAUAUGAAGUUGAAACUCAACUUGAAAUUCAAAUUGAAAUACAUAAAUGUUGAUUCGAAUAUGCUACCAUGGACGAUCCAACUGCAGACUCGAUGUGACAUUAUCGUUACGUCUCAUCCUGGAUUUUAAGCUCUAAAGGACACUGAAAAUUACAUUGGCAUGAGAAUGCCCUCUUUAGCAGUAAUACCAAAAAAACACCCCAAUCAAAACUGUCGACAACAAACCCCAUUAGGCACCAUUAUUGCCCUAUAAAAUAAAACCUGUAUGAAACACCUCUAAAACACCCCAAAAACUUGAAAACCACCGUAUGAAGCACUAUAAGCACAAAGUAAUAACUCAAUGCAGCCACGAAGCACAAUAGAAAGAAGUUGGCAGGCCAUCAACCAAAACUAGCAACAAUAUAAAGGCUCACCAUGGAAUAUCAUCUUUAUAAAUAUGUAGAGAGUUCUUUUGGUUAAGGAGAAAGGAUGUGUUGCAAUGAAUGAAUUGGGAUGUGCUAGAGGCAGCAGAGAGGAAGACUGAAGCAAUCCUUGAAGCGUAAGUCUUUGGGUAAUAGGUGGUGAGGAUGAGAAAAAAGUGGACGAAGCAAGGGAUGACGGCGAAUGAGAAAGGCUGAAUGGAAAGAAUGCUUAUAGGAGUCUUGAGAGAGCUUUUUAAUAUAAUCUCUACUGGGUUUUCAAUAAUUUCUCCUCUUCCUUCCUUCCCUACCUCCAAGGCUUUCAUAUUUAUACUAAUCAUUAGCACCUUCUUAGGAGUGGUUGGGAGAACACAUUCAAUCAUAGAAGAACAUGAUUGUCAUGGAAGUAUAGUUAAAGACCGAUUUACAAAAUAUUAAAAGAAUGAUCAUGUAGUUGGGUAAUAGGCAUAAGUUUUAGGUAAAUGGAGUAGUGACAUUUGAUAGUGCAUCACUUGUAUUUUUAAGGAGUAAAGAAAGAAAAAAGGGUAACGCACAUGUACUUUAAGGAAAGGUUAAGAGGAAGUCCUCUUAACUAUCUUCAUAUCUAAGCCACCAAGUCGAACUCUCUAGAACAUCCCAAAUGUGAAGGUAAUGCAUGAACCCUACCACUUGUUCAGAGUUACUUUCACUUUCUUGUACAAAUAGUUGUUCCAUGCUUGUUCUUGGGUGUUUCUAUGCUUGCAACACUCCUUUGGUGCUUCUAUGCUUGGAACAUCCCUAGGAACUUCUGCGCUUGGAAUGCCCCUAGGCUCUUCUGUGGUUGGAACACCCUUGGGCACUUCCACGCUCGGAACAGCUCUGGGCAUUUUUGUGCUUAGAACACUUCUGGGGGGUUCUGCGCUUGGAACACCCCUUAGUGUUUCUGUACUCGGAACACCCUUGAGCGUUUCUGUGCUUGGAAUGCCCCUAGGCGUUUCUACGCUUAGAACGCCCUUGAACGCUUUCAUGCUUAGAACAUCCCUAGGCGCUUCUGUACUUGGAACACUUAUAGGUGCUUCUGCGCUUAGAAGCUUCCAACUUGGAACACCCCAGGCACUUCUGCACUCGGAAUACCCAUGGGCUUUUCUAUGCUUAGAACACCCCAAGCGUUUCUGAGCUCGAAAUGCCUCUGGGCUCUUUUAUGCUUGGAACAUCCCUGAUAUAAUUUCCUUGUAAACAGUACUUUAAAAAUAAUAGUUAACCAGAAUUGGGCAACUACAUUUAGUCCCCUGCAUAAAAAUUCUUAUAAGAAGUUUUAUGCAUAAAGAAAUGCACAUAGUAAUAAGAAAGACAAUGCCUAUAUAUAUAUAUAUAUAUAUUCUCUCUCUCUUUUUUUUGAGUUGUAAUUAUUGACUAUAGUAUCGUUAUUAUUAUUAUUAUUUAUUUAUUAUAUAUAUUUUACAAUCAAAGAAAGACUUUAAGGGAGUAGAAGAGUAUUACUCUCAAACCAUCCUAGCAAAUCCCAAAGUUGAUGAAGCUUGAUUUCUUUGGCUAUUCUAGCCAUGUUCAUAUGCUAGUUCCUUGUAGAAGGAUGUGCUACUCCUAGUGUUAUCAAUUUCAUGCCCCCAUAAUUUCAUGAAGCAAAUUGUACAUAUAUUGGAUAAAUGCAAGUGCUUUUUUUGUUUUUUGCUUUUACACUUGAUGAGGAAUAAAGGAACUUUAUUUCCUAUGAUGCAUUGUUGUCUUAAUUUCUAAUAUAUAUUAAUAGCUUAUAGAUUAAUGCAAUUAUUUGCCAAGCACAUUGAAUAUAUAUAUAUAUAUAUAUAUAUAUAUAUAUAUAUAUAUAUAUAUAUAUAUAUAUNNNNNNNNNNNNNAUAUAUAUAUAUAUAUAUAUAUAUAUAUAUAUAUAUAUAUAUAUAUAUAUAUAUAUUACAAUUUGUAUGUCAUGUCUAUCUGCCUCCACCAAUUUUCUUCAAACUUUCCUUUUGCUUUUCAAAUGUAUUUGAGACUAGCUAAUUAAAUCUUUUUUAGACUUAAUUAUGAAAUAAAUAGAGAUAUAUGAGGAAAAGCAAUUAGAGGUAGAAAAGGAUUUGAUAAAAAAAUUUUAAAAAUUAGAUUCCUACUAAGAAAAUAAUUUCUGAAAUUUAUAAAUAUGAGAGAAUAGUUUUGUAGAAACUCAUAAUCAAUUCUAAAAUGCUCUUCCUAAUUCUCAAAGAUUCUUCCUUAGAAUUUUGAACAAGUAACUUUUCUUUUCUUUUUUUUUUUUAUGCAUAUGUUUAGCGGUGAUUGUAUGCUUAGAAUAGCUCUAGACGUUUCCUUACUUGGAACGUCUGAACCACUUAGAAUAGUUUGCCCUUUGCAGGAAAAUUUUAUUAUUAAAAUUUCAUGCAUAGCAGAAAUAUUUAAAUGAAUGACAAACUUUGAGAUUUAAGGAUUUUAUAAAUUUCUCUAGAGAGAUUGGUUGUGCAAAAACUCAUAAUGAACUUCUAAGACUUUUUCCCUAAUUCUUUUAGCAUAUAUAUAUGGAUUAUAGACUAUAAAGAUACUUAUAUAUAAAGAAAAAUUCCAUAGAAAAUGAACACCUUCAAUGUUAGGAAAGACUUGGAAGUUAGAAUGAUACUAACUUGUUAUUUUAUUUUAUUUUAUCAUAGAAGGAGUAUUUAUUUAUUUAUUUAUUAUUGCUUGUUGUCUUUGAGGAUUUUUUUUGUUUAGUGAUUUAUGUACAUAUAUCUUUAUUCGUUUUGUUUAGCAUAAAGGAAUAAUCAAACAAAUAUGAUGCACAAAUAAGAACAAAUAAAUAAACAUUAGAUAUUAAUGCAUUAGUAGGAAUAGUAAUGCUUGAGUACUUAUCUGGUUGUCUUUGUAUCAUUUAUGCUUGUAGGAUUUUUGUUGCCUCUUCUUAUGGCCAUAACUCUUUUACCCCAAAAGUUCGCUAUGGCGAACCUGAUAAGGCUGCUCUUGGAAAGAAAAGGAAGAAUAUUAUUGCAAAUUCUCUUUCUAAGAGAAUGCGAGUAGGGAGAACUGGUGAAGUACCUUUUGUGCAAAAAAAUUAGGAUGAUGGUGUCAUUAGGGAAAGAGAAGAAGAUUGCUUUUGGGAAGCAAUGCGUGCAAAACAAGUAGAUAGGCAUCCAUGUGCAUUUCCUGGCUAUCAUUGGGACUGUAUUUGUAAUAAAGCCGUUUAAGAUAAAAGGUGCUCCAUCUUAGGAUCGUUAAUAUUAAAGUUCAGAUUUGAAUGUGGUGAAUUCUCCCUUUUAGUCAUUAAAUUUGGAUGUAACUUAUUAUGGGUACAAGGUUGAGAUGAAUGGGUAGAGAAAGUUUUGAAGAAUUUCACUCAUGUGACUGCUCUCAAUAAUGUCGGAGUCCUAAAUGCUGUAAGAGUUACCACGAAACUUUGUAUUUGUAAGGAACCCAGAAUUGAAGUAUGGCAUGCUAUUUUUGCGCAGUGGAGUACCUUUUCACAUACCAUGGUUGCUGUUUGAGGGAAGUUUACUUUCACUCUUGAAGAUGUGCGCAUUCUUUUGGAACUUCUUUGUGUUGGUAGAGACGACCUUUGUUCCAUUAUACUUUCUGAACAAGAAGAAAGAGUCAAGGAGUUCUUUAUCAACUUGUUUAAAAGCCAAGUUAUGGCUUCUAAUGUGGCGCGCUUCUUUAACUAGGUAAGACUCUUUUAUAAAAAGUUCAACAUUAAAGGUGAGAGUAGUCCUCGUAAGUAUCCAGAUCACAUUCAUGAGUUAGUAGCUUUGUUGAUUAUGUGGUUGGCUCGGUAUGUCUUCCCAAGUUGUCUAGAUGAUGGAAUAUCUUCUUUAGUUAUUCCUUAUGCAAUCAAAAUUGCUAAGGGCAUGAGCUUUCUUCUUGCUCCAUUAUAUCUGGGAUCCUUGUAUAGGAAGUUAGACUUGUAUUAUUCUAAGACAACUGAAUCAAUUGGCUGCUACAGAGUCUUGACUUAUGUGGAUGUAUCAUUUAUUUAGAUGUGUUUGUGGGAGACAUUCCGUAAUUGUGCCCCUACUUCUAAUGUGUAUCAGCUUUCUGUGUCUUCUUCUGCAAAUACAGUUUUAAAGAGACAAUUAUAGAGCUUACGCAUGGCAUGACCAAAUUUCUAAGGACAACAUUCUUAAGGUGUUGGAUGAGAUAGAUCAAUUUAUCGCAAGGCCUUAUGUGAGAUCAAACUAUGGUUUUGGUGAUCCAACUAUUUAUUAUGAUAGAUGACCAUUUGAGACUGGGAAAUUGAGCUCAUGCGGAUGAAACUUCUUAGCGUGGAUUUAUUUUUCCUAGCCACCUUCCAUGAUUGAGACGACUAGUUCAGGUGUUGAUAGAAAUUCAUUGUCAAUCGAAAUAUAUUCUCUUUACAGAGUGGCACGUCAAUUUGGAUAUGAUCAGCCAGCUCCACCUAGACCCCUUUUUUCUUGAAAACUUCUCCUAUUGCACUUUUGUAUUCCUUAUUGGUAUGCUCAAUCAUACUGUGGAUAAAUUCAAAAAUUGUGUUGUCCCAGCCUUUGUCAGAAUAAGUGCCUAUACCACUGGUUGGUAUGCUUACUGGGGAGAUUGUCUUCAGGAAUGGACUUCAUUUGCCAUACUUUAUCCUAAGGUGUAAUUGCAUGUUCCUUCCAUCAGUAACAAUGAUGUGUCACUUCGUUUGAUUCGCUCUAAGAGAAACAAAACCCCUUGUCAGGUAAGCUUGUUUCUUGCUCUUCUUUUUCUCCCUUUUCAUUUCAUUCUCACGUAAAUAUUUAAACUCUUUUUUUCUUUUUUUUUAAACAUAGUUAAUUCCAAAUGCAGAAGUGGAAAGACAGGUAUUUCAGAGUCUAAGAGCGAAAAAGAAUCAUGUGACAACACGAAUAACCAUGAGUCUAGUGAUAAGUCAAUUGAGGAGAGGUUUCUCAAUUAUGAACAUCAAAGUUUGGGAGGAGAAGUAUAUGGUAAUGCUAUACAAAGAGCUCUAAUAGAUAUAACCGAUUUCCUACCUUCUACUAUACAAAGUGUUGGUGGAGAUGAGGUGAAUGGCAUUAUGGGAGUCAACGAUGGUGAUGUGGAUGCUGCUACUAAAGUUGGUGGUGAUGAUGUGAAUGCUACUACGGGAGUUGGUGAUGACUCUGUGGAUGCUGCUACUAGAGUUGGUGGUGAUGAUGUGAAUGCAUUUAACCAAAAUGAUCAGAGUGCCCCUAGGUUUGGCUUUGAAACAUUUCAACAUAACAAUGCAAAUAUCAUUGUUGGGGCAACCUUUGGAAUUACUUGCAAUAUUCAGAACAACUUUGGAAUCAAUACUACUCUUGGUGCUACUCACAAUAUUUUUUCUUGCGAAGGUGUUCUGAAUGUUAGUCGCGAUGCUUCUUCUAUUGAGGGUGUUCUUAAUACUACUUGCAAUGUUUCUUUUUUCGGGGGUGUUCAAGAUUCUACUCGUAAUUCUUCCUCUUCUUUUAGAGGUAUUUCAAAUAACUCAAAUAUCAUUUAUUUAAAUAUUGUUAUGCCUUCUUCUUACUACUCACUAUAUGCCAUCCUUUUCUUUUCAGUGGUAGAAUGCAUAAAUGAUGCUUCUGACACUCAUUUGGAAGACUUUCAUGGCAUUCCAGUCAUGCCACAACACUUGUAGCCAUGUCUAUAAAGUAGAAGGUUAAUUUUGGCAUUUUAAACACAAGUUCUUGAAUAAAGGCAUCAAGGAUAGCUUGGGCACUACUUUAGAGAUUGUUUCCUCCCCAUAAGCAGAUAUUUCUCUGGAAGAACUACAGAAGACGGUUGGUCUCAUGAAAGAUGUCCUCCUCUCUAGCUGUCACAUUAAAUGUCUUGACGCUUGCAUGGCUAAGGCCAAAGGAUACAUUAUGACAAAGGUUGACAGACCUAACAUAGAGGCUGAGAUAAAAAACCUUGACUCAAGGAAAAUGGAGUUGCAAGGAAGAUUAGACAGCCUCUCCAAUUUUAAGAAUGAUAAAUCCUCCUACCAUCUAAAUUUCAUACUUAACUAGCUUUUCCUUGUUCUUCUUUUUUGGAUAUUAUAAACUUGUUCUCCAAAGUGAACAUUUACUUUGCUUUCUUUGUGGUUUUGUUGAGUUGUUUGGUUUUGUAUUUCAUUCUUUGCGAACAUAUAAGUGUUUCACAAGUAUUGCUAUGUGCGGCCAAAAGGAAUUCUCAACUUCAUAUUGGGGAAAAUAAUCCUCAACCUAAUAGGAAGGAGAAUUACAUAUUACGUGAGAGUUUAAAGCUACGACCUUUUUGUGAAUAGCAAACUAAGGCCAAGAAGUAAGCGAUAAAGCUUGCAGCCAAUAAUAUAAAGCCAGAUUAUGAGCAUUAAAGCUUGCGGCCUUUUUGUAAAUAACAUUUUGUUAUGUAACAUUAAUGUCUCCACUCUUUGAAGAUUUCUCAUUGCAAAUCUUGAAAAUGAAGGACAUACCCAACAAAUGCAUUGGAAUCAACAGUUUAGGACCAUGAUUUUUUUAAUACCAUGGGAUACAUUGGAAAUGACAAAGAUAAUAUUUUUUUAACAUUUAUAAAUAAAAUUAGGUUUUUAACCUUCCUAAUAAGGAGAAUGAGAGAGCGAAAGAUCUUUGUAAACUAAAGUACACUUAUUCCAUACUUUUAUACCUCUUGAUAAGAUCAUUGAGAUCUUGAAGGCCCAUCUUCUGUCUACUGGCCCCAACUUUGCUAAUUUUUGAAUUAGUGAUGCAUCAUUAUUCUUAAAUAAAGGAUUUUGAAGUAUUUUCUUGAUUAAUGCAUCAUGGUAAAAUUGACCAAGCCCUUUGCAACAAUUAUCCGUAACAAUUCUAAUUUUGAAUAUACUUGUGAAAACUCUAGUGACAGUGUAAUAUCAUCUUACUUUCACAAUUAUUUGCCUUGAUGGGAUCAACAUCAUGAGCCAUGAUGCUCCAUUUGCCAUAAUAACCAAAACUCCAAAGACAACAUAAACAUUGAUACUUGCCAUUACGAUUAAGGAGUAAUUAAUGUCUCUCAUUUUGGUUGGCAAAGUACUGUGGUACUGUUGCAAGUAUUAGUUUGUUUAGAAAAUGUUUAUUGAUAGGAUAACCAUGAGGAAUGAGAGAAUAAGUUGUAUUUAAAAAUGUUUUAAUGAAAUUUCAGGUUCAAUAGCAUUAAAAAUUUCAAUUGAGACAAUGUUUGAGAUUCAGAGUUUCAACCCAGUUUCCAUUCACAUUGCAAAUCUCCCUCUUCGUGUUAAUAAUCAGUGGUUGAAAACAAUUUGCAAAAAUCAUGGGUAUGGAUAGGUAAUCGAGACUUAUAUUCCUCAAAGACAGCCAAGGUGGGACAGAUGGUAUGGCUUUGCAAAAUUUCUCUCCAUGGAUGAAGCUCGAAAAGUUAUUCAAAACUUGAACAGUGUCAAUUUCUUUGGCCAAAUGCUAGUGGCAAGCUUGGCCAAGCAAAGGCUGUCUAGGCCCCUCAUAUGACAACCUUAAAAACCACAAAUCCCUAACCCCCAAUUUCAACAAAAACCCAUAGAUUUGUCGAACCAAUGGAGGGUAAUGCUCCAAGAUCUUUCAACAAUGUGAGUUUGGGUCAAUCCUGCCUCCAAGAUCUUGUGGGUUCGGACCAACAAGUGGACGCUGGGCCACCACUACCAUCCCCACCUCCUCUCUUGAAUGAUUCUUUGAAAUUUUGCUUGGGCCAUAUUGAGGUUGAGGCCCUUCACCACCUUGAGUUUUGUGUUGUGGGAUAUUGUAGGCACUGUCGUGAACUAGCAGAUGUUGAGAAAUUAAUAAAAGGUAUAGGCAGAAUCGGCUUUGAAGUCAGAAGGUUAUCGGGUUUUCAAUUUUUAAUUUCUUUUCCCAGUUGACAAGUUGUUGAGCAAGAGCAAACCAGUAAUUAGGAAUGGCUUUCUUCAUGGUUUUUAACUCUUUAAGCGGGUUUAUAUACGAAGUUCUAUGUAUAAGUAACAAUUAUAACCAUGAUCAAGUGUUACAUCCAUAAAUUAAGCAACAAAUUAGCAUAUAACUAAACAAAUUCAACAUAAAAUUAGAUCAAACAUUCAUUUAGUAAGACAUGUUUUUGAGACACUCCUGGUUCUGGAAUUAAAACAAUCCACUAUCAGCAUCUUGGAUAUUAAUCCAUACAUAUAUGCUUUGAGUUUGAAUUAAGUUCCAUUAAGCAUAUAUAUAUAUAUAUAUAUAUAUGCAUGUGAGUAGGGGAAAAACAGGAAGAAAAUAUUGUUCCAUGAGCACAAAAACCCUGUUCAUAGCUUACAGUUACAGCACUUCUACUUGGUUGUCAAACAACAAUGUCAAGGAUUAAAGCAAAUGGUAGCAAAAACAAGUGUUGUUAUCAGCUUUGCAGAAGUUGAAGAUGUUACCUUUAAAUAGCCGAGGAAUAAAAGAAGAAACGCAUCGUUCUGAUAUGCUGUUGAGGAAGGAAAACAAGUUAAAUGAGAAACGCAACGUUUUGAAGCAAAUAAAAGAAGACCGUUGGUUAUUUAGCCGUUAACCAUUUUUUAAUUCUUUUAGUUAGUUAACACUGUAAUUAGUUAUGCUCUUUGGUUUUUUCCUGAUGACAGUACAGAUGCUAUGUAUAUAUACAAAACCUCUGUAAUUUUUCCAAAUAUGAUAGUGGAAUAUUUUUCCCAAAACAUUCUCUGUAAAUACUCGUGAUUCAUCAUGGUAUUAGAGCAAGGUUAAGGCUUGCAGAAAUUCAUUUGGGAAUAUUCACAAAGCUGAUAGCAGCAUCAGCUAGAUCCAUUUAUCAUUCUCGCAUCACCAGGUCUACUUUCUGGUUUUUCAAUAAGUUGAUUCAUACUUUCAGCUUGUUCGAUCUUUCUUGUUCAGUGAAUCAUGUCAGAAUCUUUUGAAUUGAGAACUCAAAUGUCUCAAACCUCAACUGAUUUGGGGUCAACAUUAUCACCCAUAGCAGAUCCCCAGUCACCUUACUACCUGCACCACACUGAUCACCCUGGAUCAGUUGUAAUCAACCCUAAGCUUACCACAAGUAAUUACUUGGCUUGGAGUCUAUCCUUUUUAUUAGCUUUAUCAAUCAGAAAUAAAAUAGGAUUCAUUAAUGGUUCAAUCCCCAAACCUGAGGUAACAGAUCCUAUUUACCCUUCCUGGACCCGCUGUAACAAUCUACUGGUUGCUUGGCUUCUGGACUCCAUGACACAGCCUAUUGCUUCAACAGUAUUUUAUAUGGAUUCGACAGUGGAAAUCUGGAAUGCACUUAAGCAAAUUUUUGCCCAGCUUGAUGAUACUGGGGUCUGUAACUUACAGUACACUUUAGCUAACACAACACAGGGGACUAGGAUAGUUGAUGCCUAUUUUAUAGAGCAUAAAGGAAUUUGGGAAGAGUUUAGGAGUUUUAGACCUCUACCACAUUGCUAAUGUGGCAAAUGUAAUGCUGAUUGCUUUAAGAGAUUUUCUGACCAGUACCAAAAAGACAUGGUCUUCAGAUUUUUGAAUAGCCUAAAUGACUCUUAUUCAGCCAUCAGAUCACAAAUCAUCAUGCUAGAUCCCAUACCGAGUCUAGAUAAGGUGUAUAGCCUUGUGUUGAGAUAAGAGACACAAAGGAAUUUGAUGCUUCAAACACACCCUGUUCUAGAAUCAUCAGCUAUGCAAACAACUAGUGAUAUCAAGAAGAAGGCAAAGAAAGAUCUUCUUUGCUCACACUGUGGGAAGAAGGGACACAUUAAGAAGAAGUGUUACAGACUGGUUGGGUUCCUGAAAGAUUUUAAGUUCACCAAAGGGAAAAACAAUUUCAAAAAGGGGAGUCGGUUGUGAACAAUGUGGCAUAUGAACAUUUUGCAGGAGCACAAUCUGAUCAAGAGGAUGAUGCAGCAAGUACAGGAUCCACGUCUCAAAUAUCUAUCAUUAAACAUCCAGUCAGCAAGUUAAUGGAGCUCUUGAAUGAGAAUGGGAUCACUUGCAAUGAUGGUAAGGCCUCCACAACACCAAACAAUAAUCAGAGUAAGCCAUCCCUAAUCAAUUCUACCUUUGCAGGUAUAGUUUCAAAUCACCUCUGCUUUAAUACCUCUAAUAAUAUGCCAUAUUGCUUCAACCACAUUAGUAAUAUCAUGAUUAAGCAAGAUAGUUGGAUCAUAGACUCUGGUGCUUCUGAUCACAUUUGUCAUUCUUUAGACAAAUUUGUAAUAGCUCAUCCAGUUAGUAACCAUUAUGUUCACUUGCCAAAUAAUGGUAAAGCUCUUGUCACUCAUAUAGGUACUGUCAGAUUGUCAUCUUCAUUAGUACUCAAGGAUGUUCUUUGUGUUCCUAGUUUUAACUUCAACCUCAUUUCAGUGGGAGAGUUAACAAAAACAAAGAAGUCAUGUUUAUUCUUCACUGAUUCCUAUUGUGUUGUUCAGGACCUGCCAUCAUGGACAGUGAUUGGGGUUGCUAGAAUGUCUUCAGGACUUUAUCUGAUGCAGGACAAACAAGUUGAACAAGAUCUGUCUCAGUUUUCUUUUCAAAACUAUAUCAAGAACAUUUCUGCUUUUUCUGUCAGUUCCUCAAAGUCAAAAUAUAAAGACUUUGAUCUUUGGCACUUUAGGUUGGGACAUGCCCUAAUAGAAAGAAUUAAUGUAUUGCACAAAAAUUUUCCAGAAAUCAAGUGUUCAAAUGACUUAUUAUGUGAAAUCUGUCCAAAAGCAAAACAAAGGAAGCUUUCAUUUCCAGUGCAUAUUCAUAAUUCAAAAGCAGUUUUUGAAAUAGUUCAUAUGGACAUAUGGGGUCCAUAUGAAGUUCCUACAUUAAAUGGUCACAGAUAUUUCCUAACCAUAGUUGAUGGUCAUAUGGAUAUAUUUGAUAAAAGCAAAGUCAGAAGUUUCUUCAAUUAUUCCUGCGUUUAAUAACCUUGUUCAAAAAUAAUUUGAUAGUUCUAUAAAGUGUUUGAGGACUAACAAUGGUCAAGAAUUUAAACUUAUUGAUUUUUAUAGCAAAACUGGAAUUGUUCACCAAAUGUCCUGCAUUGGUACACCACAACAGAAUGGUGUUGUAGAAAGAAAACACCAGCACAUCUUAGCUGUGGCAAGGGCACUGAGACAUCAAUCAAAUCUGCCACUUACUUUCUGAGGGGAAGCAAUUUUAACUGCUGUUCAUAUAAUAAAUAGAGUGCCUACUAGAGUUCUUCAAAAUCAAUCACCAUAUGAACUUUUGUUUAAGAAACCACCUUUAUAUGAUCAUUUUAAAGUUUUUAGGUGUUUGUGCUUUGUAUCCACAGAAACACAUAACAGAAAGAAAUUUGACAGCAGAGCUAGCAAAUGUGUUUUUAUAGGCUAUCCAAAUCAUGUCAAAAGAUACAAAUUGUAUGAUAUUGAAGCACAAAGAGUCUUGGUAUCUAGGGAUGUUGUUUUUCACGAGGAUACCUUUCCAUUCCAUGAUUUAAAACAUGAAAACCAGAAUUCCACAUUUUCACAAACACCUGGUAUACAUGUCACACCUUUUGACCCUCUUGACUCAAUUUAUCUAAAUUCUCAUUCUUCUGGCCAAGACCAAAACACUUCAAUUUUGAAUGAACCUUCAGCAGCCUUAUAACAACCUUCCAUAUCAUCCAAUGAUGAAAGUCUUCAUAAUUUAUCACUUGGUAGUAGUCUGCCUACUGAAAAUGCCACAAGUCAACUUGAAACAGAUCCCAUCAUUGAUUCAGAUCAAGCUGCUAGAAGAAGCUCAAGAAUUAAGAGUAUACCAAAGUAUUUAGAAGCAUAUGAUCAUGAUCUAUCAUCUCAUACCAACAAUGUCACCCUGCACCCCAUAUCCAAUUACCUUUCUUAUCAUAAUCUGUCACCUGCACACAAGGCAUUCACCAUAUCCCUAUCCAGCAUACAGGAACCUAAAACUUACCAUCAAGCAGUAGCUCAUUCUCAUUGGAGAGAAGUAAUGGCAACUGAAUUGAAGGCACUUGAAGAUAAUGGGACAUGAAGUGUUGUACAAUUGCCUACUAAUUCUCACACUGUUGGCUGUAAGUGGGUUUAUAAGACUAAGUUGAAUGCAAGGGGAGAAAUAGAGAGGUAUAAAGCCAGGUUGGUUGCUAAGGGAUAUAGUCAAAUGACUGGCUUUGAUUAUCAAGAAACUUUUAGCCCUGUGGCUGAGCAAUCUACAGUCAGAAUUUUCUUUGCCUUAACAGCUGCAUGCAAUUGGUUACUGUUCCAACUAGAUGUGGACAAUGCUUUCUUACAUGGGGAAUUAAAUGAAUAAGUUUAUAUGGAGUUACUCGAGGGGUAUUCAAUCAAGGGGGAGCAUUCAGAUGACUCAAGACUAGUGUGCAAGCUGCAUAAAUCUCUCUAUGGACUCAAACAAGCCUCAAGGCAAUGGAAUGCUAAGCUGACAGCAUCUAUUUUGCAAUAUGGUUUCAAGCAAUCAAUGUCAGAUUACUCACUGUUCACUAUGAGCACAACAGGUGGUGAAUUUGUGGCCUUAUUAAUAUAUGUUGAUGAUAUUCUAAUUGCUAGCAAUUCUGCACAGGCUGCAACAGCUGUAAAGAGUCACAUUGAUUCACAGUUCAAACUCAAGGACUUAGGUACUGUUAAAUACUUCCUGGGACUUGAAGUAGCUAGAUCACCACAAGGCAUUUCAAUAUGCCAGAGAAAAUAUAUUUUGGAUUUAUUGGAAGAAUAUGGUUUACUUGGAGCCAAACCUUCAUCAACACCUAUUGAUUAUAAUGUUAAGUUGAGGAAAGUAAGUAAGGAAGAAGAAGUAACAGAUCCGACAAAAUACAGACAACUUGUAGGUAAGUUGCUUUACUUGACAUUCACACGACCUGAUAUUUGUUAUGUAGUACAGAAUUUGGCUCAAUUCAUGGACAAACCAACUGUAGAGCAUCACAUGGCUGCUCAAAGAGUGCUUAAGUACUUGAAGGGAGCACCAGGACAAGGGAUUUUAAUGAAGAGGGACAGCAAUUUAAAAAUUUCAGCAUAUUGUGAUAGUGACUGGACAGGAUGUCCUGACACUAGAAAGUCUGUGACUGGUUACUGUGUGUUCAUUGGAGAAUCUUUAGUGGCCUGGAAGUCUAAGAAACAGCAGAUAGUUGCUCGAAGCUCAACUGAGGCAGAAUACAGAUCUAUGGCAGCUACAUGUUGUGAAGUUAUUUGGAUUAAAGGUUUACUUGCAGAUUUUGGAAUUCAACACUAUGAUGCAGUGAAACUCUAUUGUGACAACCAAUCAUCAGUUUAUAUCAGCAAAAAUCCAGUUCUUCAUGAAAGAACCAAACAUAUAGAGAUUGAUUGUCACUUCAAUAGGGAGAAAGUUCAAAGUGGUGAGAUUGAACCUGUCUAUAUACCAACACAGCUGCAGGUUGCUGAUGCAUUCACCAAACCCCUGCAGCAUGGAACUUUCAAAAGGUUAUUAUACAAGAUGAACAUUCACAAUGUUCAUUGUUCAUCUUGAGGGGGAGUGUCAAACAACAAUGUCGAGGAUUAAAGCAAAUGGUAGCAAAAACAAGUGUUGUUAUCAGCUUUGCAGAAGUUGAAGAUGUUACCUGUAAAUAGCAGAGGAAUAAAAGAAGAAACGCACCGUUCUGAUAUGCUGCUGAGGAAGGAAAACAAGUUAAAUGAGAAACACAACGUUUUGAAGCAAAUAAAAGAAGACCGUUGGUUAUUUAGCCGUUAACCAUUUUUUAAUUCUUUUAGUUAGUUAACACUGUAAUUAGUUAUGCUCUUUUGUUUUUUUCUGAUGACAGUACAGAUGCUGUGUAUAUAUACAAAACCUCUGUAAUUUUUCCAAACAUGAUAGUGGAAUAUUUUUCCCAAAACAUUCUCUGCAAAUACUCGUGAUUCAUCAGUUGGGUUUGGAGCAUUACAUAAUUCAGGGAAUUUUCAAAUAGUUGGCUGUUUCUUGGAUGAAUUUGUUAAAAAAUGUUCCCUGAUCCCUUGCUUGCAUAAUGCAACUCUCAAUGGUGAUAAUUGAAGCAUUUGUUGACCCAAGUUGCAAGGGUUCAUGGCUUCAUGCUUUGUGUUUUUCAAUUACCAAGAGGAGAUCAGUCACAUGAAUCGAUCCCUUCAGUUUGUCAGUGCUCAAUUGAAAUGAAGUUUGUGUUUUUACAUUGCAAUUGAACUUAUUACCUUUAUUGUUUUCUUUAAAGGAAAAAGAAAAACCAAGCAAAGAGUGAUGAAGAGAUUGACUUGAAGCGUUACAGCUGGUAGGGAAAAAGCCAAACCUGAAUGAUUGAAUUGAUACCAAACGAUUUUAUCUCAAUAUGCCAAACAAUUGCCAAGUUUAGACACAAAAUCUUUAAGAGAUUUUGUUCUUGGUUGAGAACUUUUUAUGAAGUCCUGAUGUUUUGCUUGAAAAAGAAGAUAGUAAAGCUUUGGACAAUAACUCUAAACACAUAAGGGAAUAUAUCCGAAUUUUGUUUCUUCCCCAUUCACUUAAUUUUUAGAAUCGGGCAAACUCUAUAUAUAGAAGAGAUUUCUGAUCGUCAUGUAUAACUAAACAUCUGUACCAAAUAUCUCCCUCUACCGAAGCAACUUUCAGGCGAAUGGGGUUUUCCAAAAGAAAGCUAGCCAAUUAUAACUCUCUCUCAUGUUGCUAAGCCUACUUCCUAUCAGCAAUUUGGUAGCAGCAAGUCUGAUCCAAGCUGAUUACAAAAGGUGUCUUCUUCUUCUUCUUCUUCUAAUCCUGCCUCAAUACAAUAAAUAAAAAAGUAAAAUUUAACCUGCAAUCCUUGGAAAACUCCUACACCGAAUAGACAACCCCACACUCAACUGUUUAUUUGAAGUUGGACCAUGUCGUUGGAGAUGAUAGUACUAGUAAGAUCAUGUCCAACCCAGUGAUUAUGAGGUCUGUUUUUUGGUAGUGUUUCCGACUAUUGUGCUUGGAUCUCAAUUUAUAUAGGAUGCUUCCAUGCACUGUUGGUUUGUUUUAGCUCUUCUUGUAUAGCUUGCUUCCUUCAUCUGGGCUUGCCACGACAUCUGUUUUAAUUGCUGUAAGUUUUUUGUAUGACCUUAUAUUCUAAUGAAUUUUCUUCUUGUCUCUCUUCAAAAAAAAAGUCAUGUCUAAUCCAAUAAUUUCCUUAUUUUCUUUAUUUUGUCAAUAUUUAAUAAAACUUUCCUUCAUUGUAUUUUAUAGAUAAAGACUUGCUUACCUUCAUACUCCAACGGUUUGAAAAGUACCCGAAUUUUAAGUCUAGAGAUUUAUAUCUUGGCGGACCUAGCUAUGCAGGUUCCAAAAACAAUCAUUUCAUUUUUUCAUUUCAAAGUCAAAUCAAUUCAUUGUAGUUUAAUUUAUUUAGAAUUUGAUAAAGAAUUAAUUAGCCGUUAAUGAAAAUUGAAAAGAAAUUAUGGCCUCUAAAACAUAUUUUUCUUUUCAGUUUGCAUUUCAUACCAUUUUACAAAUUUCAUUUAACUAAUAAUAAUGUUAAUUUUUCUUAGGACACUUCAUACACAGUUUCGCUAAUUCCUUACUUGAUUACAAUAUCAAACAAUCAAACAGUUUUAAGUUCAACAUCAAACGAUUGGCAGUAAGAAAAAUGUCGAUCUAACCACUCUUUAAGUCUUUUGCUUAAUUAGUUGUCUCAAUGAAAUAAUAAUUUUAGGUCCUUUUUUUCUUUUUUUUUUAAUUAUUUUUAAAUAGUUGGGAAAUCCACUUCUUCAUAAUAAGCUAGACACUUUUGCAAUAUAUGAUUUCUUUUGGUCACGUGGAAUGAUUAAUAUUAACUUCCACCAACAAAUCUUGAAAGAAUGCAAUGGAAUUGACAAGGACUACUAUUCCCAUAAUGCCAUCAAAUGGUCUGAAUCAUGCCAACAAGCCAUGGAUAAAGCUAAAAUGGCUGCUUUUAUUGUAUCUUCCAUUAAUGUAGCUAAGGCAAGACGCUUUGAUGUUCUUCGAGACCCUUGUGAUAAAAAAUGGGAGACCUUGUGUUAGGAAAGGAGGUAUUCAUGUUGUUUCUUUGUGUAUUAUUGUGAAACUUAUUCACUCUUCUUUUUAUUUAUAUUUUAUAUAUUAAUUCUUUUUCUGCUGUUAUAAGUUACGAAGGUUAGUUAUGAUGUAGAUAUGUGCAUUCCUUUUAGGGCAGAUUUCUAUUUCAACAUUCCAAAAGUUCAAAAUGCUUUUCAUGGGGAUCGAACCAAUUUAGGGUACCAAUGGAAGGGUUGUUUUGAGUAAGUUCUUUAUAUAUAAAAUUUUGCACAUUAGGAUCUAGUCCAGUGAUCUGUAACAAAUGUUUAUACUUAUUUUUCCUUUUUAAAAUCUUCAUAAUCUACUAGGAAAAGUGGUCUUAAAUAUAGCGAUGCUAAUAAAGACAUUGGCAUGCUUCCUGCAUUGAAAAAAGAUGCUGAUAAAGACAUUGACAUACUUCCUGCAUUGAAAAAAAUUCUCCAACAGUCUAUUCCUAUUACAAUAUUCAGAUUUGUAUUCUAUAUAUAUAUGUAUGUAUGUAUGUAUAAUAUGUUUCUUACUUGGCAAUAAAGAAAGUUUUAGUAAAUAAAUUAAAUAAAAAUUAUGUGACAGAACUUUUUAUUUUAUUUUCUUUUAUCUUUUUAUCCAAUAUCAUGUUAUAGUGGAGACCAAGAUGCUAUAGUACCAACAGUUGGAAACUUAAACCAUGUUAACAAGUUAGCCAAGGAUAUGAAUUUGAAUAUGACAAAAGAUGUAGCUUGGAAUCAUGAAAACAAGGUUUUUGAUUUAUCCAUUUGUAUUUUACUUAAUUAUUUGUUUAUCAUUUUCUUCUAAUUAAUAUCAUAUUAAUUAGUUUAAUUAAUGGAUAGAGUGGAGGUUGGAUGUACUCGUAUGACAAUUUAUUGAAUUUCAUGACUGUAAGACGAACUAAUCAUCCUGCGACUUUUUCUAAACCAUCUGAAACUUUAUUUAUCUUCACAAGUAUUAUACUUAACCCAUCACACUGAGUUAGCCAAUUUCAACAAGGCUUGAUGUCUCAUAUUCUUUUCUUCUUCCUCCAAAAGGAAAAAAAAAAUAGAAAACAUAAUUGGAAUUUUAUGUUAUGUUGUAGCGAAAUAGCAUUGUUUUUUGAACAAAGAUCUUUUCUUUGAUUUUAGUGUUGCUAUUUUCUCCUCUUUUCAUCUCCCCUCUCUCUCUCUCAUCUUCUCCGUCUUCUUCAUUAUUUUAUUAGUAUACGCAACCUAAGGAGCUUUUGUUUUCUCAUUUAUGUUUUCUGACAUAAUGUAUUUGUAUUUAAUGCUUCCUAGAUGGCCGAUAGAGCAGAUUCCCCUGUCUCAUCGGUUGUUGUUUCUAAAGGAGGAAUUGGUGAGAUAGUAAAGCCUUUGACAAUAACUCUAAGGUCUACAACACAUCAUAAACAUAGAAAACAGCAGGAAAAUACACAACAAACACGGUUGAAAGCUCUUAAAACAAACAUAUUUGGGAAUAUAUCCAAAUUCUGUUUCUUCCCUUUUCACACAAACUCUAUAUAUAGAGCAACCCAAUUGCAAAUGCUGGCCAAAGUGGAAAAAGUCCCACAUUUAAUAGACAAUAUUAUAAUUAAUAUGUUUAUUAAGGUGGGCAUGACUUCCCUGCUUGCCGAGCUCGGUAGCGUGGGUUUGUUAUUAAGAGGGGCAUUAAAGUGAUCGAAAGCGACGAGGAAUUGGUUCAGAGGGGUGGAGUUAAUCUUGGGUUCAGCAAAAAGCUCGUGCGCCCCUUACCUUUGGGAAAAGGGAUCUCCACCGACCGUGGAUGGGUUGCACAGCUAAUGCUCAAAUUGUUUUGGUGUAAGGUUAACUUUCCACCACAGACCCAAGGGUGAAUCCCACCCAGGCGUGCAUCUGGCCCGUAUUCCCUUCAAACGAUCAACUUUUUUUGUCUAUUUUCUCAUUCUCGCUGUAGAAGAGUCUUUACCGAAUCUAAUUUUUGUUAAGAAACCAAUAUAAUUAAGAGUUUAUGCUCAUCGGUACUUGAUCAGGUGAAAUAAAUGCUAUUGAGGUUGAAAUGUCUUUAAGAUUUUUUAUAACAUUUUCUCUCCCUUUACCCUAUAAAUGAAUAUUUUCCUAAUAAAUCAGUUCUUGCAGUAGCACAAAAGUAUCCUGCCGACGAGUGAAACGAGAAAAGUUAGGAUUUUUUGAGCAAAAUGACAAGUUUCAAUGUUUAUAUUACUUUCGGUGUUUUGGUAUUUAUGACAAGUGGAGUGGUCACGGUUCGCCAUGUUGAUCCGAUCGAAGCAAAUAAUUGUGAAACUAAAAUGACAAUGCAUUGUGUUACUAAGGUUUUCGUUGACAUAUUCAAGAUCGGAACUGUUUCUAAUAAUUGUUGUUAUGAACGUGUAGGACUUGGUCAACUUUGUCAAAAUGCCUUAAUGAAGAAAAUUCUUCAAAAUCUUCUAUUUAAAAAUAACGAUACAUCAGUGAUCUUAUCAAGAGCUACUCAAACAUGGAAUAAGUGUACUCUACUUGGCAAGAAUGAUUCAUCCACUCCUCGUUGAGAAGGUUAAUAACUUAUUUUAUUAAUAAAAAUUCUAAAGAAAUAAUACUUUUGGUGUUGCUCUUUUUUGGAUAAAGGCAAAUUUGAAAAAAAAAAUUUCAUUUUCACACAAAUUCCAAUUAAAGUGGAUAUAAAGGCAAUGUCAAAAUCUCCUCAAACAAUGCACUAUAUGAAAUUUGACAAUAAUGGGGUUAAAAGAAUUUCUUUUAUGAGAAUUCCUUUUUGAAAUCAAAAUUUCAUCAUAAUGUGCAGUUAAAGAAUUUUCAACAAAGAUGAUAUUAUUAUUAAAUUCAAUACACAUUAACAAACUAACAUAAAUUUAAACCAAACUAAACCAAACUCAAACUUCGUGAGAUUCAAAAUUUUAAAAGUUAAUAAUUUUAACACCUCUUUCUUACCAUCAAAAUGAAAUCCGAGAAAGAAAUUUUUUACUCCAUCCACCUAUUGGUCGAUAAUUAAAUCAAGGUAGUUGUCACAAAAUGUUAUUUCAAUUAACUAUAAAACAAUCCAAGCAUAUUAGCAUUUCACUCAUUGGUUGGUGUAUGAUCCUUUAUUUAAAGAGUAAGAUUCGAAUCUCCCUUCUCCCAAUUAAAAAAAAACCUAUAAAAAAAUCCAAACUUUUGACUAAAAUGUCUAGCUUAAAAAGUCCAAAACAAAAAAUCUCAAAACACAAACAAACAAGAACCCAAACUCAUACUUAAAAAGAUUAGAUGUCAUUCAUACAACGUUUUUGAUCAUUCAUUCAAAUCAAUAAAAGUUAGAAGUUAUAUAAGAAACAAAUUAAAAUAUGAUCACCUUUUAAAUUUAAAGCAACUUAAUAUUUAUUAAUGCAAAAUAGCAGCUUCUACAUAUAUUUCAUAAAUUUGGACAUCCACUAUUAUUUAUAAAAAUAUAAUAAAACUAUGCUCAAAAAUUAAUUUUUAACAUUCCAUACACAAGUAAACUCCACCCUUCAAGCCAUCGGUCUCUAACAUUCAACCUUCGUACGACAUUUAAUUUUCUUAAUUUUGCGAUCUUCAAAAUUUAAAUUUUAAAUUUGUGAUUUUUAAAAAAAAUUCUAAAUUCAACAAUUUCGUCAAUUAUUAUUAAAAUUCGAUAAAUUUGCUAACUUAGGACCACGUGAACAUUCAUGUGACAACAAUUAGUAGACCUGGAUAUUUAGAGGUACAUAUUGCAAAAAAAAUGGACUUAUUGGACAUUUUAAGUUAAAAUUUACGUCCAUGAAUAUUCACGUUGUGUUGAUGUAACAUACUUCAUUGAUUUUUAAAAAUGAUUGAUAAAAUGGAUGGAUUUGAAAUAUGUUUAAAAGUCAUAGAUAAUAAUUAUUAACGUAAAAGAGCAGUUUAUAUAUAUAUAUAUAUAUAUAUAUAUCGUCAAAUCAAACAUCUAUUAUUUAUAAAAAUAUAAUAAAACUAUGCUAAAAAAUUUGCAGCAAAUUUGGUUUCUGUUAAUAUCUUUUUUAUAUGCAUCCAAUGUUUUGUUUUUUUUUAAUUUGUUUAUUCCCAAGUAUGCAUCAUUAUAAGAGAAAGUUCUCAUCAAUUCUUGCAGUAGUACAAAAGUAUUUUACCAACGAUCCAAACAAAAGAAGUUAGUACUCCUUGAGUGCAAUGGCAAGUUUCAACGUUUAUAUUGCUUUCGAUGUUUUGGUGAUUAUGACAAGUGGAGAAGUCAUGACUCGUGAUGUUGAUCCGAUCAAAGCAAACAAUUGUGAAACUAAGAUGAUAAAACAUUGUGUUAUCGAGGUUUUUACUAGUAUAUUCAAGAUUAGAACUGUUUUUGAUAAUUGUUAUCAUGAACUUAUAGGACUUGGUCAACUUUGUCAUAAUGCAUUGGUGAGAAAAACUCUUCAAAAUGCUCUAUUUAAAAAUAACGAUACAUUGGUGAUCUUAUUAAAGGCAACUCAAGUAUGAAUAAGUGUACUUUACUUGGCGAGGAUGUUUUCCCCACUCCUUCUCCUUGAGAAGGUUAUAUUAAUUAUUCAUUUUAUCAAUAAAAAUUUUGAAGAAAUAAUAUACUUUCGAUGUUGUUCUUUUUUAGAUAAAGGCAUAUCAAUUUUAUUAUAAUCUUCAGUUUGUUCGUUUAUGCCAUGAUAAUGAAAAGCAAUUUUUUUUUUUUUGUGAAUAUAGUUUUGGGUAGAUGAUGAUGUUCAUAAAUACAAAAAGUAUUUCAUCAAUAUAUGUACAUAUCUUAGCCCUUUUAAUCAAAUCCUGAUUUAAAAGAAUAUUUGUAGACAACCCACUUUAUUCGGGGUCAUUUUUAUAAAUUUUGAAAUUAAAUUAGAUUAAGACCAUUUUUUAUAAGAAACCAAAUAUUUUAAUAUUACAAAGAAAUUGACUGUUUCCAAACAAAAUUUUUCUUAGGAAAAAGUCAAAUUUCCAUACAUAUGAUAGUAUUUUUAUUCAAAUCUUGAUAUAAAAUAGUAUUUGUUGACACCCCAUUUUUGUCAGAGGUCAUUUCUAUAAAUUUUGAAUUAAAUUAGAGUAAGACCAUCUUUUAAUAAUUAAUCCAACUAUAAGGCUACAAAAAAAUUGACUUUUACGAACAAAAUUCCAAAGAAAAAGUUUGUCAUUGCAAAUGUAGUAAGCAAUGCCAAUGGUCGAAAAAUUAAAAAAUUUUGUCAAUAAAACUUCUAAAUUUUCAAUGAAAAAUUUCGUUGAGAAAGGCAAAAAAUUGUUAAAAAUGUCGGUUAAUCCAUCAAUAAUAAUCGUAUCAAGUCCGUAAAAAACUAUUGAAUUUACCUAUGUUUUGUCAAUGAUGAGGUAAUUAAUUACCUAUGAAAUUCCAUCGAUAUUUUCAUCAGUAAAAUCUAUAAAAAUCAUCAUAAAUAAUCCAGUUCUCAUCUCAACUCAAAAUUGAAAUCCACUAUUCAUAACAAAAGUUAGUGUUGAACUAUGAAAUUGAAAUUUAACUUGAAAUUCAAAUUAAAAUAUAUAAAUAUCAAUUCAAAUAUUUGACCCCUAAAGUAUGGGUGUUUUUUGUCGCCUGUAUAAAGGCUUUGUGUUUCGAUUUAAGGUCGCUACCAAUAGCUUUUUGUGCGAUUGCAAAAUGUUGUAAUUGUACAGGUUCUUUUUAUUCAAAGCUAGUGAUGUUUAUGUCACCAGCAGUCUUCAGUCAUUCAAGCUAAUGACUUGUAAUGGCGUGCUGGCUGAUUGGUUUAAUGAAAAAUCACCUUUAAAAAAAAGUAUGAUACAAGGACACCAGACAUUACAUUGGUGUCAUAAUGCCCUCUUUAGCAGUAACACCAAAGAAACACCCUAAUCAAAACUAUACACGACACAAACCUUUUUGUGGCAUAAUUGCCCCUAUCAAAAAACCAAUAUAUAUGAAACACUUCUAAAACAACUCCAAAAACAUGAAAGCCACUAUAUGAAGCACUAUAUGCACACGGUAACACCUCAAUGCAGCCAAGGGGCACAGGAAAAAGAAGCAUCAAUACAAAGGCAUUACAGCUUUAACAUUUUGUUAUUGUUUAUUAAACAUUUUGCUAUGUAACAUUAAUGUCUCCACUCUUUGAAGAUUUCUCAAUCCAAAUCCUUAAAACUCAACAAAUGCAUUGGAAUCAAAAGUUUAGGAUCAUGAUUUCUUUAAUACCAUGGGGUACACUGCAAAUGAAAAAGGUAAUUUUUUUUAAUAUUUAUUGAUAAAACUAGAUUUUUGACCUUCCUAAUAAGGAGAAGAAGAGGGCGAAACAUUUUUGUUAACUAAAUUGCACUUAUUCCACACUUGUGCACCUCUUGAUAAGAUGACCGAUGUAUCAUUAUUUUUAAAUAGAGGAUUUUGAAGAGUUUUCUUGAUUAAUGCGUCAUGGCAAAAUUGACCAAGUCCUAUAAGCUCAAUGCAACAAUUAUCCGUAACAAUUCCAGUCUUGAAUAUACUUGUGAAAACUUCAAUGACACAAUGCAAUGUCAUCUUAGUUUCACAAUUGUUUGCCUUGAUGGGAUCAACAUCACGAGCCAUGACCACUCCACUUGCCAUAAUAGUCAAAACUCCAAAAACAACAUAAACAUUGAAACUUGCCAUAACGACUCAAGGAGUAAUUGAUGUCUCUCGUUUUGGUUGGCAGAAUACUUUGGUACUACUGCAAGAAUUAGUUUGCCUAGAAAAUGGUUAUUUAUAGCAUAACCAUGAGGAAGGAGAGACUAAGAUGUAUUCAAAAACGUUUUAAUGAGAUUUCAGGUUCAAUAGCAUUAAGUUUUUCAGUGUAUGAAUUAAUUUGAUAAAUUUUCAACCAAAAAUUUUUUUUUAGUAGGAUAGCAUUUAGUAAUUUUCAGUUAUAGAAUAUUUUAAAGGAAAGUUACAUUAGUCUCAAAAACAAAAAUUUUCCGGCCACCAUAUUAAGUUUGAUAGUUUGUGACAUUAAUGCAGCAAAUAUGAAUAAAAAACACAAGAAAUAGUAAUCUCUCGGCAUAAUAAAUCCAAUUCCUUUUCAACAUUCGAGCUGUAGAUUUUCAAGUUGAAACUUUAAGUUCUUAACAAAUUGGAAAAAUUAUAGAAAAAUGAUAUUGAUAAAAAAGAAAUAAUAUUCAAGUGCAAUUUCACAUCAAUUCCUUAUUCGUAAGAUUAGAGUAAAUUGCAGACAAUCAGAUACCAAUUACAUAUUUAUUAUUUAAACUUACAUCAUCCUGCAAAACCUCAAAUGUCAAUUUCUUGCAUUGUCUCAAAGCUUUCUCUUCACCUUUCCUAAUUUACAUAUUGCCCUAGAAUAUAAAGCCAGCUACAAGCUACAUUAAUAAGACAAUGAAAAGUAUUGAGAGAGAAUGAGAGAGAUGAGGUGAAUUCCAAAAAGGCUCUCUUCUUCCAAGAUCACAUUGUCUCAAUAUUCCGAAGCAACUUUCAGGCGAAUGGGGUUUUCCAAAAGAAAGCUAGCCAAUUACAAGCCUUUCUCUCAUGCUUCUAAGCUGCUUGUGUUGUUAUCUGGCUUGAUGCCUAAUUCAGACGUCACUACUUCAUUGAUUGCAAUGUGGUAAGCUUGGCACAAUAGUUUUCCAAUAUGUAUAUAUUGACUAUACUAUCUUCCAUGAACUCUGGGAUAGGGAAUCAGAUAUGGUUUUUACAAGUCUUUACAUUAAUUUUGUAGAUACAAGUGUCAAUACCAGUGCCAAUGAUAAAGCAUCCAAUAGCUAUCGGACACAAAUAAGUUGGAGAAAAUUGAAGAGUCCAUGUUACAUAUUCCUUUAAUUUUAAUCAUUUAGCAUUUGGUCAUAAUAUUUGGGCUAGUUUCUUUAGUAACAGCUCUUCUAUUCAUUGAACAUCCCUUUAUGUUCCGUGACAAGUUCUUCUGUCUUUGGAACCUUUGGUGUGAUAGUUGGAAUAUUCAGUAGGUAAUGCCAAAAGGGUUUAGAGAACUCAUGACUAUCUGGAACUCGUGCAGCAUGGCAGAAGGAAAUUGUAAUGUUUGGAAGCUAACCAUCUUUGCAGUCACGUGGCCAAUGUACUCUCUAAUUUCCGGAUGACAGGUUGCGACAGGGACACCGAACCAGCCUUUACCCCGAGGGGCAAUCCCAAGUAAUUAGUAGGCCAGUUACCCACUUUGCAUUUAAUGCUUUCAGCUCAGGGAGCAACUUGAUUCUGCUGCAAUCCAACUCCGAAUAACUGACUUUUCUGGCAAUUAGAGAGUAAAUUAAUUUUUAACGUUCGCUAAAAUUUGCAGCAAAUUUGGUUUCUUUUAAUAUCCUUUUCUAUAUGCAUCCAAGGUUUUGGUUUCUUAUAGUUUGUUUACGGUCAGGUAUGCAUCAUGAUAAGAGGAAGUUCUUUGUUAUUGUCUCAUAGGUCUAUGUUAUUGUGUUCCCAAGUGAUCAAUCAUGAUAAUCCUCUUUGUUGGCAUAUAUAUAAUAUAAGUUGAAUUCAAUUAAAAUAUGGAAUUCUCAGGCUAAUCAUUAAAAGCUAACAAGACUUAAAACAUUUAUCAUAAUCUCUGUCAACUUGUCCAGGGAUGGAGCACUGGAGUCCUCUUAGAGUGGCUGUGGUAGCUCUGUUAUUAUUGUUGGUCUUUCUUAGGAAUAACAAUGAACACAUUAACCUUCAAAAAAAAAAAAACAAUGAACACAUUACUUCCAAAAAAAAUGAACACAUUAAAUUAAGAGAAAAAAGAAGGAAAAGUUAUACAUAGAAAAGAAGCAAAUAGAUGAAGAAAAUACAUUCUAAUAAAAUUAGAUUAUAAAUCUCAUCUACACAUUCUAUAAGAAAUGAAUAUAAUUGGAAUUCUUCAAAAAUGAAUAUAAGUAUUAGUUUCUACCCAUCAGUACCCGAUCAAGUUGAAUACAUAUAAAUGCUAUUGAAGCUGAAAUGUCUUUAAGGUUUUUAUAAUGUCUUCCCUCCCUUCACCCUAUAAAAGAACAUUUUCCGGGCAAAUCAAUUCUUGCAAUAGUACAAAAGUAUUCUGCCAACGAUCAAAAAAAGAGAAGUUAGUAUUCCUUGCAUGUAAUGGCAGGUUUCAAAGCUUAUGUUGCUUUUGGUGUUUUGGUGAUUAUGACAAGUGGAGCGGUCAUGGCUCAUGAUGUUGAUCCGAUCAAAGCAAACAAUUGUGAAACUAAGAUGACAACGUAUUGUGUUUUCGAGGUUUUCACUAGUAUAUUCAAGACUAGAACCGUUUCUGAUAAUUGUUGUCAUGAACUUAUAGGACUCGGUCAACUUUGUCAUAAUGCAUUGGUGAAGAAAACUCUUGAAAAUCCUCUAUUUAAAAAUAACGAUAUGUCAGGGAUCUUAUUAAGGGUAGCUCAAGUAUGGAAUAAGUGUACUUUAGUUGGCGAGGAUGUUUCGCCCACUUAUUCCCCUUGAGAAGGUUAUAUUAAUAAUUUAUUUUAUCAAUAAAAAUUCUAAAAAAAUAAUAUACUUUCAAGGUUGUUCUUUUUUUGAUAAAAACGCAAAUCAAUUUCAUUAUAAUCUUCAGUUUGUUCAUUUAUGUCAUGAUAAUGAAAAGUAAAUUUUUUUUGUGUAUAUAGUCUUGGGUAGAUGAUGAUGUUUAUAAAUACAAAAAGAAUUUCAUCAAUAUACAUACAUACAUACAUACCUUAGCACUCUUAUUCAAAUCUUGAUAUAAAAAAAUAUUUGUAGACAGCCCACUUUAUUCGGGGUCAUUUUAUAAAUUUUGAAAUUAAAUUAGAUUAAAACCAUUUUUUAUAAGUAACCAAAUAUGUUAAUAUUACAAAAAAAACUGACUGUUUCCAAAUGGAAUUUUUUUUAGAAAAAGUCAAAUUUCCGUACAUAUCAUAGAAUUUUUAUUCAAAUGUUGAUAUAAAAUAAUAUUUGUAGGCACCCCAUUUUUGUCCGGGGUCAUUUUUACAAAUUUUGAAUUAAAUUAGCAUAAGACCAUUUUUUAAUAAUUAAUCCAAUUUUAAGGCUAUAAAAGAAAUUGAUCUUUUCUAACGAAAUUCCCAAGAAAAAGUUGUCAAAAAUUUCCUGGUUGAAAAUGUAGUAAGUGUUAUCAGAAUUCUGUUUCUUCCCCAUUCGCACAAAAUCCUACGACUCACUCCAUUUUAGAAUGGAUCAAACUCCAUAUAUAGAAGACAUUUCUGAUCGUCAUGUAUAACAAAACAUCUCUACCAAAUAUCUCCCUCGACCGAAGCAACUUUCAGGCAAAUGGGGUUUUCCAAAAGAAAGCUAGCCAACUAGAACUCUCUCUCAUGUUGCUAAGCCUACUUCCUAUCAGCAAUUUGGCAGCAGCAAGUUUGGUCCAAGCUCAGUACCGCCUACUCGAAACGGUUAUGGGAGAUCAGAAUUUGGCUGACUAUUCGUCAAUGCAAAAGGUGUCUUCUUCUUCUAAUCUUGCCUCAACACAACUAAAAAAGUAAAAUUUAACCUGUGGCUUUGGAAAUUGUCCCACAUUGAAUAGAUACUCUAUAAUUUAUAUGUUUAUUAGACAUAAGCGGGCGUGUCUUAAAAGCCGGGCUCGGUUGCGUGGGCCUGUAACCAAGAGGGGCUGUAGGGUUGUCGAAUGGAGGAAGGUGACCACCCUGAGGUUUGGUGUUUACCCUUUGUCUCUUGGAUGUGGGUCCGGUGGGCUUACAUGUCCCUUUCGUCCAAACGAUUAACCUUUUAUCCUUUUCAAUUCGACCUAAUAAUUUAAUUUUUAUUAGGUUAUCUUUUCUUUGCCUAUUUCCUCAUUCUCUUUUAUCUUUUCAAUUCUUCUUUAUUCCAAAGAUAACAAAUUGUUCAAUUCUUCUUUAUUCCUAAGAUUUUGUAGAUUAGAUCCAUAAUAUAAUAAUUUAAUAUUUAUUAAGUUAUCUUUUCUUCAACUAUUUUCUUUCUUUCUUUCUUUUUUUUUAAUUUAUGCUCAUUCCUUAAUUUGCUAACAAAUUGUCACAGAAUUUUUGUUCACAAAUAGUAUUUUACUAGUUCGAUUAAGAAAACUUUUUAUCUUUUCAAUUCUUCUUUAUUCUUUAAUUUGCUAACAAUUGACACAGAAUUUUUGUUCCCAACAGUAUCUUACUAGUUCUAUUAAGAUUGUGCAGAUUAGAUCCAUAAUCUAAUAAUUUAAUUUUUAUUAGGCUAUCUUUUUCUUUGUCUAUUUGCUCAUUCUCUAUAUAGAAGAGUCUUUCUUUUCUUUUUUAAAAAAUUUAUGUUUAUUAGGGGCGACCAUGCGUUCUAAAUGUUCCUAGUUCGGUAGUAUUUGCUUGUAACCAAGACGGUAUUAAUGUUGUCGGAUGCUACAAGGUGACGGGACAAAGGUUUAAUGAUAACCUGGUUCUAUUAUCAAGAGGGGCAUUAAAGUGGUCGAAUGCUGCAAAUUGAUGCUUUAGAGAGUGGUGGAGUACUUUUUAACCUUUUUUUUUUAAAGCUGAAAUAAGAAUUUCAUUGCAGAUCAGAGCAGAACCAAUGCUUACGAAGACAAAAGCUGCAAAGAACAGGAAAAGGGUGUAACACGAUAACUUCUCAGAAGAUCAUCUACCCACUAGUACUAUUCUCGUUCAAAUUUGUUUAGCUGUGAAGUUUUGAUGAGAUUCAAUGCACUAGUACCGGUAUGAUCUCACCUUUUUAAUCUUUAAAUCUGUUAAAAUAUUGUUGCGUCCCCUACCCUUGGCAAAAGGGACUCCCACUCUCCAUGGAUGGGUUGCAAUGUCAACUGGCCCAUAUCCCUUCUCUUCUAAACAACCAACUUUUUAUCUUUUCAAUUCUUCUUUGUUCUUUAAUUUGCUAAUAAAUUGUUACAAAAUUUUAUUUUUUUACUCGUUUAAUCAAUUAUAAUUUUAUAUUUUUUAUCUAUUUUUGCUUUAUAAAGCUUGUAAUUAAGAAAGAGUAUAAAAAGAAAAUUAUGAUAAAAAGUUGGAAAAGGAAUUAAUCAAACAUUUGCCUUGCUUGCUUUGCUUUACAUGAGAGAAGUUAGAAGUCACCGACCAAAAACAAAACUAAACAUAGAAAUAAACAAAAAUAAAUAAUGUUGUAUUGAACAUAUUUAUAUAUGUGUUGACCCACCCCAAUUUGAGGGGUAACCAAGCAAACCCAUCAAUGUUCACAUUUUGCUACCCAUCCGUCUAGGAUGGGAAUGACUUUCUAACCCGAUCAUCUAAGUGUAGGGUUCACGUUUUCAAUUCAAAAGAUUAAUUUAUUUUAUCAAUAUAUAUUUUAAAGAAAUAAUAUACUUUCAUUGUUGUUCUUUUUUAGAUAAAGGCAAAUCAAUUUGAUUAUAAUCUUCAGUUUGUUCGUUUAUGCCAUGUUAACGAAAUAUAAAUUUUUUUUGUCAAUAUAGUUUUGAGUAAAUGAUAAUGUUCAUAAAUACAAAAAGUAUUUCAUAAAAAUGCAUGCAUAUCUUAUCAUUUUUAUUCAAAUCUUGAUGUAAAAUAAUAUUUGUAGACGACCCACUUUAUUCAAAAUCAGUUUUGUAAAUUUUGAAAUUAAAUUAAAUUAAAUUAAUUUUUUAUAAGUAAACAAAUAUUUAAAUACUGCAAAGAAACUUGCUGUUUCCAAUAACAUUUUCUAUAGGAAAAAUUCAAAUUUUCGCAUAUACCAUAUUAUUUUUAUUCAAAUCUUGAUAUAAAAUAAUAUUUGUAGACACCCCAUUUUUGUCUACAAUCUUUUUUAUAAAUUUUGAAAUUAAAUUAGAGUGAGAUCAUUUUUAAAUAAUUAGAGUAACACCAUUUUUUAAUAAUUAAUCCAAUUUUAAUGCUAGAAAAAAAUUGACUUUCUUCAACAAAAUUCCAAUGAUAAAGUUCGUCAAAAAUUUUGUCGAUGAAAAUGUAGUAAGCAAUGGCAAUGGUCAAAAAAUUAAAAAAGUUUUGUCAAUAAAACUUUAAAAUUUUCAAUGGAAACUUUCGUUGAAAGGGCAAAAAAAUGGUUCAACAAGUAGGCUAAACUGUCAAUAAUUAUAGUAUAAAAUCUGUCGAGAAUUAUUGAAUUUACCUAUGAAAUUUUGUCGGUGAUGAGGUAAUUAAUAGCUAUGGAAUUCCAUUGAUGAAAUUAAUAAAAAUAAUUAUAAAUAAUCUCUUUCUUGUCUUGACUAAAAGUUCAAAUCCACGAUUCAUAACAAACGCUAAUAUUGAGCUAUGACAUUCAAAUUUAACUUGAAAUUCAAAUUAAAAUACAUAAAUAUUGAUUAAAAUAUGAUACAAGGACACGAGACGUUACAUUGGUGUGAGAAUGCCCACUUUAGUAGUAAUUACCAAAGAAGCACCCUAAUCAAAACUGUACACGACACAAACCCUUUUGUGACAUAAUCGCCUUUAUAAAAAAAAAAACAGUAUAUAUGAAACACUUUUAAAACAACCCCAAAAAUAUGAAAGCCACCAUAUGGAGCACCAUAAGCACACAGUAACACCUCAACGCAGCCAAGAAGCACAAGAAAAAGAAGUAGCAAUACAAAGAUAUCACAGUUACAACAUUUUGUUAUUAUUUAUUAAAACAUUUUGUUAUGUAACAUUAAUGUCUCUGCUUUUUUAAGAUUUCUCAUUCCAAAUCCUGAAAACCCAAUAAAUGCAUUGGAAUCAAACGUUUAGGAUCGUGAUUUCUUUAAUACCAUGGGAUAUAUUUCAAAUGACAAAGGUAAUAUUUUUUCAAUAUUUAUCGUAAAACUAGAUUUUCAACCUUCCUCAUAAGGAGAAGGAGAGGGUGAAACAUCUUUCUUAACUAGUAUGCACUUAUUCCAUACUUGUGCACCCCUUGAUAAGAUCACCGAUGUAUCAUUAUUCUUAAAUAGAGGAUUUUGAAGAGUUUUCUUGAUUAAUGCAUCAUGGCAAAAUUGACCAAGUCCUAUAAGCUCAAUGCAACAAUUAUCCGUAACAAUUCCGGUCUUGAAUAUACUUGUGAAAACUUCAUUGACACAAUGCAAUGUCAUCUUAGUUUCACAAUUGUUUGCCUUGAUGGGAUCAACAUCAUGAGCCAUGGCCGCUCCACUUGCCAUAAUAGUCAAAAUGCCAAAAACAACAUAAACAUUGAAACUUGCCAUAACGACUUAAAGAGUAAUUGUUGUCUCUCGUUUUGGUUGGCAGAAUACUUUGGUACUGCUGCAAGAAUUAGUUUGCCUAGAAGAUGUUUAUUUAUAGGAUAACCAUGAGGGAGGAGAGAGUAAGAUGCAUUCAAAAAUGUUUUAAUGAGAUUUCAAGUUCAAUAGCAUUAAUUUUUUCAGUUUAUGAAUUAAUUUGUCAAAUCUUAAAUCACAAGAGUUUCUUUAUUCGUGACAUUAAAGCAGCAAAUAUGAAAGCGCGGAUGGUUAGCUUUCCAUGCUAUUAAUACAAAAUUUCUAUUAAAACGAGAGGUUAUCAUUAACAUAAUAAUUAAUUAGUUAUUUAUCUAUAUUUUAUUGGACACAUAUAAUCUUGGAUUACGUAACAAGACAUGGUCUUCUUUCGUGUUAUAAAUCUUAUUCCUUUUUCAAUCUUCGAGCUCAAGAUUAACUUUUAUCAAUAUUUGAGCUUGAGAUUUUCAAUUUUCAAUUAGGUUCUUAACAAAUUGAAAAAUUAUAGAAAAAAUGAUAUUCAUAAAAAAGAAAUGAUAUUCAAGUACAAUUUCAAAAUGAGGCUGAAAGUUGAUUUUAUAUAAAGUGGGUUUCACUUGGCAAAGAGGGGAUUUUGGUAGGUUUUGAAUAAGGUGGUUAUAGUUGGGUCAAAUUCUAUUUAAUUCUGUUUAAGUUUCAACUGAUAUAUGUAGAAUAUCAGUCAAAUUGAAUUAACGAGUUAAGUGAAAAAAUGUGGAAUUCUCAAUACAAUCAUUAAAAGGUGACAAAUUCUAAUUCCUUUGCAAACUAGAAAGGUGGAUGUGAGUUGGACCUGUUCAUUGUACAAGAUGAUGGCAACAAAAUUGUUGAUCGCAGUAAGCAAAAUGCAUAUGCUCUGGUCUGAGGAUGGAGCUUUGGAGUCCUCUUAGAGUGGUUGUGGUACCUUUGUUAUUAUAUAGUUGUUGUUGGACUUUCUUAGGAAUAACAAUGAACACAUUAAAUUAAGAAAGAAAAAAGAAGGAAGAGUUAUAUAUGGAGACUGAGCAAAUAGUCGAAGAAAGGAUAAUCUAAUAAAAUUGGAUUAUAAAUCUCAUCUACAUAUUCAAUAAGAAACGAAUAUAAUUGAAAAUAUUAAGGAACAAAUAUAAUUAAGAGUUUCUACACAUUAGUACCUGAUCAGGUGGAAUACUUAUAAAUGCAAAUAAAGCUGAAAUGUCUUUAAGAUUUUUAUAAGGUCUUCCCUCCUUUUACCCUAUAAAUGAACAUUUUCUUGACAAAUUAGUUAUUGCAGCAGUACAAAAGUAUUCUACAAACCAUUAAAACAAGAGUAGUAUUCCUUGAGUGUAAUGGCAAAUUUCAACGUUUAUUUUGCUUUUUGUGUUUUGGUAAUUAUGAUAAGUGGAGCGGUCAUGGCUCGUGAUGUUGAUCUGAUCAAACCAAACAAUUGUGAAACUAAGAUGACAAUGCAUUGUGUGAUCGAGGUUUUCGCCAACAUAUUCAAGGCCGGAACUGUUUCUGAUAAUUGUUGUCAUAAACUUAUAAGACUCGGUCAACUUUGUCAUAAUGCAUUGGUGAAGAAAACUCUUCAAAAUCCUCUAUUUAGAAAUAAUGAUACAUCAGUGAUCUUAUCAAAGGCGGCUCAAGUAUGGAAUAAGUGUGCUCUAGUUAGUGAGGAUGUUUCACCCACUCCUUCUCCUUGAGAAGGUUAAUAUUUUAUUUUAUCAAUAAAAGUUACAAAGAAAUUAUAUACUUUCAUUGUUGUCCUUUUUUGGAUAAAAGCAAAUCAACUUCAUUAUAAUCUUCAGUUUAUUCAUUUUUUCAUUUAUGCCAUGAUAAUGAAAAGUAAAUUUUUUUUGUGAAUAUAGUUUUGGGUAAAUGAUGAUGCUCAUAAAUACAAAAAGUAUUUCAAAAAUAUGCAUACAUAUCUUAGCACUUUUAUUCAAAUCUUGAUGUAAAAUAAUAUGUGUAGAUGAUCCACUUUAUUUGGGGUCAUUUUGUAAAUUUUGAAAUUAAAUUAAAUUAAGACCUUUUUUUAUAUGUAACCAAAUAUUUUAAUACUACAAAGAAACUUGUUAUUUCCAACAACAUUUUCCGUAGGAAAAAAUGAAAUUUUCGUACAUGUUAUAGUAUUUUUAUUCAAAUCUUGAUACAAAAAUAUUUUAAUAAUGUACCUUCAAUGUUGUUUGUUUUUAGAUAAAGACAAAUCAAUUUUAUUAUAAUCUUUAGUUUGUUCAUUUAUGCCAUGAUAAUGAAAAGUAAAAUUCUUUUGAGAAUACAAUUUUGGGUAGAUGAUGAUGUUCAUAAAUACAAAAAGUAUUUUAGCAAUAUACAUACAUAUCUUAGCACUUUUAUUCAAAUCUUGAUAUAAAAUAAUAUCUGUAGACAACCUACUUUAUUCAUGGUCAUUUUUAUAAAUUUUGAAAUCAAAUUGGAUUUAGACCAUUUUUAUAAGAAACCAAAUAUUUUAAUAUUGCAAAGAAACUGACUAUUUUCAAAUGGAAUUUUUUUAGAAAAAAGUCAAAUUUCCAUACAUAUCAAAGUAUUUUUAUUCAAAUCUUGAUAUAAAAUAAUAUUUGUAGACACCCCAUUUUUGUCCAGAGUCAUUUUUACAAAUUUUGAAUUAAAUUAGAGUAAAACCAUUUUUUAAUAAUUAAUCCAAUUUUAAGACUACUAAAAAAAUUGACUUUUUCCUACGAAAUUCCAAAAAUAAAGUUUAUCAAAAAUUUCAAUAGUGAAAAUGUAGUAAGCAAUGCCAAUGGUCCAAAAAUUAAAAGUUUUGUCAAUAAAACUUUUAAAUUUUCAAUGGAAAUUUUCAUUGAGAAAGGCAAAAAAAAUUAUUAAAAAAGUAGGUUAAUUCAUCGAUAAUUAUGGUAUGAAAUCCAUCGAAAACUUGUUGAAUUUACCUAUGGAAUUUUGUCAGUGAUUAGGCAAUUAACUGCUUAUGAAAUUUCAUUGAUUUUUCCUUCAAUAAAAUUAAUAAAAUCAUCAUAAAUAAUCUAAUUCUUAUUUGCACCUGAGUAUUUGUCUCAUUGGUUGGUGUAUAAUCCCCCUGCCUAAAGAGCAGGGUUCAAAUCCCCCUUCCCCCAAUUAUAAAAAAACGAAAAUCUAAUUCUCAUUUUUACUUAAAAUUCAAAUCCAUAAUUCAUAACAAAAGUUAGUGCUAUGAAAAUGAAAUUUAACUUGAAAGUCAAAUUAAAAUACAUAAAUAUUGUCAUGACCCAAAUUCGGGAGUUCGUGACUAGCACGCAUGAGCUUGGCAGGCAAGCUCGCGAUACUCGAGGAUGCCUUCAUAGUUAAGUCUUGAUAAACAUAUACCAUAAUCAUAAGGCCUCAUGGCCAACAUCAUUGCAUUAAACGUAAGUCUUUUAGCAUUCAACCUUAGCCCCUUGGCUCGUAAUAACAUUGAGGACUUAAACAUAACAUCCACAUGGCCAUACAUUGGCUAAUCAUCAUUUUAAAAUCUGUAAUCAUCUCCUUACAUAACAUAUGGCAACUUCGUGCCAUCAUAUUUCCUUUAUGACGUAUUUUAUAUACAUAGCGGAAGCGUACAUAAACCAUGACUCUAACUACUACGCAGUGGAGAUUCAUUGUUAGCGGAUAACAUACCACUUGUCAAAAUUGUGUGUCUGAUGUUGACAAUGCUAAGUCACCCAAUCCUCGGUGUCUUUAUUUGCACAUGUACAAUUAAAGUGGUGAGUCACACUAGUACGCAGUGCGCGAGAGCAUAAAACAAUUGUAAAUGUGUAGGGAUAGUUGUUACACAUAUCCUCUAAUCAUGCAUGCAUAUCAUAUCUCAUGUAAGUACAUAAUAGGGGCAAGUCAGACAUCACCUGUCAUUCAUGCUCUAACAUAGUCAUAGCAGUCAUGCUACGCAGCAUAUAUCUGUCAUAAUCGUGCCAAGGUGGCAUAAUCAUCCUCACCUUACUCAUUCAAUAUUGCUAACAACAUACCCAUCUAUUAACCUAUUCUACCGUAUGAACCGGCCCACCAUAUGGCCAUCUACAUACGUGGCUAGGUGUACUCAUCUUAUAGCACUCACCUCAAUGCUAAUCCGUAAGCUCCUCAAGCAUGCAGCACAUCAUAAUCAUAUAUCAAAUACAUAUGGCUCUUUCCUCGAGCCGUUGCAUUAGUCAUCACCUCGUAACAUCAUAUAACAUAAUUCACAUUUCAAAACCUAAGGCAUGCCAUUAUGUAGUCAUCACAUCAUAUCACAUCAUAAAGUGGCCCUCCCUUGGACAUCAACAUAUCAUGCACGGUGGCUAGCCGAUGGAGAAACAAAUCACGCCUAAUGCCAAAUCAACUAGUAGAAUAUCAAAGUCAUCGUCCGGAACAAUCUCUCCACAGACGACAUCACAAUUGUCCUCCGGGGCAAUAUCCCAACGGAUAGCAUCACCUAGAGUAUUCGUACACAACAGGCGGGAAUCAUAGGUGGGAUUUUCAGCCGCUGCCCUUAUUUACCACCAUCCCUGAGGCAUGGACAUAAUCACCAUUGCACUGUAGGCGGGAAUCACAAGUAAGACAAAACCACCAUCCCUGUCGACGGAACAUACAUAGUCAUAGGGAUAUGGACACACUCAACCUCAUAAUAUCCAUCAUCUGAAAUUCCUCCACUGAUAGAACAUGCAUAAUAAACAUCAUAACAUCAUUCAGAAACAUCCACGGAUGGAACAUAUUACUCCACAUAACUCAUUAAUCAUCAUGCUUGUCAUCAUAUGUAGUCAAUCACUCAUCAUCAUGCCUCGAUUCUCAUAUUUAGAAAAUACUCAUGAGCAUAUUAAUCACUAAGCCUAAGUAUAUUCUUUCUAGGCACAUCAUGUAAGUCUCACAACAUUCACUAGUCUAGACAUAACUUUUCUAGACAUGUUGACCAUAUAGACAUUCAACAUAGUAUCAUCAUUUCCAUUACAUUAACUUAUAUUCACAUCAACAUCAUUAACCUAGGCAUAGUCCUUUUAGGCGUAUUACAUCGUUCUCACUUAUUUUCUAGUUUAAGAAUUCUACCUCUAGACAUGCUUAUAGUUCAUAUAUAGUAUACAUUAUGCAUUAUUAUUAUUGAAGCAUAUAUGCACCCUAGUCCUUAUGGUCCUAUGCAUAAAAGUUUUCCCACUCACCUUGACAAUGUAGAGGUGCUCCUUAGUUGAGCUUAAAUCCUUAGCCUCCAAUUUUCCUUUACAAACCCAUUAAAUCUUAGCUUUCAAAAAAUGCCAUCUUUUCAAUAAAAUAGCUAAAUCUUUAGCAUAUCAACAAAUAGGCUCAAAUCCUUUAACAAUGAGCUAAACCCAUACCGUAGAAGUUGGGUUGCACAAUUAUUUACCCCAAAUAUCCAGUCAACUCAAAAGGGUAAUUUUUCUUCAAAGCUGGAUCAAAAUUGAAUCUGAGUUAUUAACCGUUUAAAUUGAGAAUCAAUCGACAAUAAUGCUUUAUCUUACCUCUAGAAGCAUUUCCCAAGCUCCAUAUUUACUCCAAACAACUCCAAACACUUUAAAAAUUCAUUCCUGAAAGCUAAGGGUUUAGUUUUAAAGAGAAAAAGUGAAACUCUUCUACCAAGCCUUUUUAGAGUGAAAUUUCUCACUUCUAAUGCUCAAAGUCCUUGAUUUAGCACUAAAGUAUGAAGGUUUUGAGUGAGAUGAAAUUUGAGGGAAAUCGAAUGAGAGAAUGAAGAAAUAGGAGAAAAUGAAGAAUUUUUCGAUUUUUGGGCUUUUAAGCUCGAUUUUUGCUAAUAUGGCACCUCAGGAUCAACCAUGGAAGCUUGGUAUUUGAUCCCAGACUGGAUUGUUUACCCCAAAUCUCAUUUCCUACCCUAAGAUCGACUACAAGGGUUCUGUACUCGAUCUUGGGCUAGUGCUAAUUAUUUACCCCUAAACUUUACUAUGUAAAUUCGAUCCUCUAUGUAUUGGGAUCAACUUUUGAGGUCCAAAUGAUAAAAAUUGAUUCUUUUGAAGUCUAAACUCAUUCUAAAUCUUCCCCACAACCUCCAAUCAUUCAUAUUUCACUUGAAUAAACACACAAGUCCAUCAUGCACACCAAUUCUCUCAUUCAUGCUCUAUGUCACAUAGUAUAUCAAUUAACAUAGUAUAAUUUACAUAUGUAUCAUAUUCAGCUCAGCGCCCAACAUAUGCACUAUAUCAUUCAUGUGCCAACCAUAUGCAUAACAUCAUUUGAGCUUUUACUCACUAUACCUUUCACGACCAUCUCUUUUGGACAUAGGCAUUCCUUAAAUUCAUAAACAUACACAUCAAGGUCACAUCAACCCAUAAGGUAUUCUAGCAUUGUACAUGGUUAACAUUAACAAAAAUCGAGGGUGUUACAAAUAUCGAUUCAAGUAUUUGGCCCCUGAACUCUAGGUGUUUUUUGUCACUUGUAUAGAGGCUUUGUGCUUCAAUUUGAGGUCGCUGCCAAUAGCUUUUGUGUGGCUGAGAAAUGUUGUAAUUGUACAAGUUCUUUUUAUUCAAAGCUUGUGAUGUUUUUGUCACCAGAAGUCUUUGGCCAUUUAGGCUAGAGACUUGUGAUGAUAUGCCGGCUGAUGGUUUUAAUGAAAAAUUGCCCUUAAAAAGUAUGAUGCAAGGACACCAAAUGUUACAUUGGUGUUAGAAUGCCCUUUUCAGCAAUAACACCGAAGAAACACACUAAUCAAAACUGUACACAACACAAACCUCUUUAGGGCAUAAUCACCCCUAUCAAAACAACCAAUAUAUAUGAAACAUUUUUGAAACAACCAAAAAGCAUGAAAGCCACUGUAAACACAUAGUAACACCUCAAUGCAACCAAGGAUGACAAGAAAAAGAAGUAGUAAUAUAAAGGCAAUACAGUUUUAACAUUUUGCCAUUAUUUAUUAAAAUAUUUUCUUAUGUAACAUUAAUGUCUCCGCUCUUUUAAGAUUUCUCAUUCCAAAUUAUGAAAACCCAACAAAUGUAUGGAAAUCAAAAGUUUAGGAUCAUGAUUUCUUGAAUACCUUGGGAUACACUAUAAAUGACAAAGAUAAUAUUUUUUUAAUAUUUAUCGAUCAACUUAAUUUUUAACCUUCCUAAUAAGGAGAAGAAGAACGCAAAACAUCUUUGUUAACUAAAGUGCACUUAUUCUAUACUUGUUCACCCCUUGAUAAGAUCACUGAUGUAUCAUUACUUUUAAAUAAAAAAUCUUGAAGAGUUUUCUUAAUUAAUGCAUCAUGACAAAAUUGACCAAGUUAUAUCAAUUCAAUGCAACAAUUAUCCAUAACAAUUCUGGUCUUGAAUAUUCUUGCAAAAAUUUAAUCGACACAAUGCAAUGUCAUCUUAGUUUCACAGUUAUUUGCCUUGAUGGGAUCAACAUCACGAGCCAUGGCCACUGCCCUUGCCAUAAUAACCAAAAUUCUGAAAACAAGAUUAACAUAUUGAAACUUACCAUUAAAACUGAAGGAUUAAUUGAUGUCUCUCGUUUUGGUUGGCAAAAUACUUUGGUACUGCUGCAAAGAAUUAGUUUAUAGAAAAUGUUUAUUUUAUAAGAUAACCAGAAGGAAUGAGUGAUUAAGAUGCAUUCAAAAACAUUUUAAUGAGAUUUUAAGUUCAAUAGCAUUAAGUUUGUCGGUUUAUAAAUUAACUUGAUAAAUUUUUAACCAGAAAAAUUUUUUUUAUUAGUAUAGCAUUUAGUAAUUUUUCAGUUGUCAGAAUGUUUUAAAGAAAAGUUACAUUAGUCUUUUAAAAAAAAGAUUUCUGGCCACCAUAUUAAGUUCAAUAGUUUGUGACAUUAAUGCAGCAAAUAUGAAUAAAAAACACAAGAGAUAGUCAUCUCUCGGCUUAAUAAAUCCUAUUCCUUUUUCAACAUUCAAGCUCUAGAUUUUCAAGUUGAAAUUUUCCGUUCUUAACAAAGUGAAAAAAUUAUAAAAAAAUGAUAUUGAUAAAAAAAAUAAUAUUCAAGUACAAUUUCACAACAAUUCUUUAUUCGUUAGAUUAAAGCACAUUGCAAGCAAUCAAGCACCAAUUACAUAUUAUUAUUUAAACUUACAUCAUCUUGCAAAACUUAAAAUGUCAAUUUCUCGCAUUGUCUCAAAGCUUUGUCUUCACAUUUCCUAAUUUACAUUUUGUCUUAGAAUUGAAAGCCAGCUACAAUAAUAAGACAGUGAUAAGUAUUGAGAAAGAGAGAGAGAGAUAAGGUGAACUUCAAAAAGGCUCUCUUCUUCCAAGAACACAGUGUCUCAAUAUUCCAAAGCAACUUUCAGGAGAAUGGGGUUUUCCAAUUAUAAAUCUUUCUCUCAUGUUGCUAAGCUUCUUGUAGCUGGCUUGAUAUGCCUAAUUCAGAAGUAACAACUUCAUUGAUUGCAAUGUGGUAAGCUUGGCACUAUAGUUUUCAAAUAUGUAUCGACUAUACUAUGUUACAUGGACUAUCAUGACUCUGUUUCUUCUUAUUCCAAGGAAUUUCUAUUCUUUGUUGAUUAAUGGAAUUUUUUCUAAUGUUUAAAAAAAAUAUAUAUAUAUAUACUCUUACAUGGACUCGAGAUAGGGUAUCAGAUAAAGAUACGUCAUGUUUUUGACAAGUCUUUACAUUAAUUUUGUAGAUACAAGUGUCAAUACCCGUAUGAAUAAUAAAGUAUUCAAAAAAUAUAAGAUACAAAUAAGUUGGAGAAAAUUGAAGAGUCCGUGUUACAUAUUUCUUUAAAUUUAAUCAUUUAGCAUUUGGUCAGAAUAUUUGGGCUGGUUUCUUUAGUAACAGCUCUUCUAUUCAUUGAACAUCUCUUUAUGUUCUGUGACAAGUUCUGCUGUGUUUGGAACCUUUGGUGUGAUAGUUGGAAUAUUCCGUGAGUAGUAUUUUUGUUCUGCUGUCUUGUGAUGAUCUCUCUGUUUUUGUUCUGCAGGGGUGAUUUCUCGAUGGUUGUCCUUUUGAUCGCAUUACAACCUGAGUUGUUUGUGAGCUUGUAUAGUCUCUGCCUUGAUCUGCUUAAUUUGCAGCUCUUGCCUUACAUGGCAACUUUUGUAAAGCAUGUUUUUUAAUGCAAUCUCUACUAUAUUUAAACAAAAAAAAAAAAAACCAGCUCUUCUAUUAUAGAGAAAUUUGGGUCAAUGACACCCCUGCUUUUGGUCUCAACAACAAUUGAUUCUUUUCAGGGAGUCUUAUCAGGUUUGAAGUACCACCAACCAACAUUUUUGUCUAAAAUGUUUUUUCAGAUUGAAGUUAAUGAUUCUAAUUUAUAUUUUGGUGUUGCAGGGUGGCCAGAGGAAGUGAUUGGCGGUUCUUGGCAGUGUGACUAACUUGGGGACUUUCCAUUUCAUUGGAAUGACAAUUGCAGGCCUUCUUAGAUUUAAGUUUGAGCUUUAUAUUAAGGUGAAGAAUAUAUAUAAUUCUUUUUUCAAGUAGUUAACUAAAUUCCAUAAUUCUGUUCUUAAUUAAUCUUCCUUAUGAUACCCUUUUAUGCUUUAUUGUUCUUCAGGGUUUAUGGAUAGGCUUAAGAUGCUUUAUUGUUCAUUACGUUGUACAGAAAAUGGACUAAAGUCGAGCUUUAAGCAGAUAAUGGUAAGGAAACAGGGAACUGGAUAUGCAUUUUGUUGGAUCAUUGAGAAUCUUAAUAAAAAUUAAAUGGGCCAAAUUUUGACAAAGUUGAACUAGUUAUUGAUUUGGCAUCCUAUUAGAGUGGCUGUGGAGGGCUUUGACCCUGUUGAUUUGUCUGGCAGAGGCCGGCCUCUUGUUUAGUUUGACCACUUAAUGCCACUCUUGAUUUCAAGCUCACGCGACGAAGCUUAACAUAAACAUUCUGACCAAAAUUCUGCUUUUCGUUGUCAUGGCAUAAAUUAAUAAAUUGAAAGAUAAUAAUGAAAUUGAUUUGUAUUUAUUCAAUAAAAAUAAUAUUUAAAAUAUUAUUUUUUUAGAAUUUUUAUUAAUAAACUAAAUUAUUAACUUUUUCAAAGAUAAAGAAUGAGCAAAACUUCUUCGUCAAUUAGAGUACAUUUAUUCCAUAUUUGAAUAGUCUUUAAUAAGAUCAAUGAUGUAUCAUUAUAUUUAAAUAGAAGAUUUUAAAGAGUUUAAUUCAUCAAUGCAUAAUGAUAAAGUUGACCAAGUCUUAUAAGUUUAUGACAACAAUUAUCAGAAACGGUUCCAAUCUUGAAUAUACUGGUGAAAACCUCAAUAACAUAAUGUAUUGCCAUCUUAGUUUCACAAUUGUUUUCUUUAAUCGGAUCAACAUCACGAGCCAUGACCACUCUACUAGUUAUAAUUACUAAAACACUGAAGCAAUACAAACACUGAAACUUGUCAUUACACUCGAGGAAUACAAAUUUCUCUUUUGUUUUGAUCAUUGGCAGAAUACUUUUGUACUGCUGUAAGAACUAAUUUGUCAAAAAAAUGUUCAUUUAUAGGAUAAAGGCAGAGAAGACGUUAUAAAAAUCUUAAAGAAAUUUCAACUUCAUAGCAUUUAUAGGUAUUCCACCUAAACAUUUAAUUAUAUUCACUUCUUAGAAACAACAAUGAACACAUUAAAUUAAGAAAGAAAAAAAAAGAAGAGUUAUAUAUGGAGAAUGAGUAAAUACUCAAAGAAAGGACAACCUAAUAAAAAAUAUUCAGUUCUAUAUUUUUUAAUUGAAAUAUCUUACUCGAACCAUUGAAUGCCAUUUGGACAAAAUUUUGGGACAAUUCGUUACUAAAUUAAGGCAUAAAGAAGAAUUCAAAAUAUACAAAGUUAAUCGCUUGGAAGAGAAAGGAUAUUGACUUGGCAUCUGUGGUGAAAGUUGGCCAUCAAUUCAAUCAAAGAGUUUGAUUAUGGACACUGAAACCCAUCCAUGGAGGGUGAGGGUUCCUUUUCAUUAUUAGUUCAUACCAUUACUAUUAUUUUUAUUUUCAUUAUUAGUUUUUUGGGAGCUCCUUUUAUGCUAAUUAAUCAAGAAACAUAUGCCGUUAAAAUUUUAUACCAACUAAUAAAUUACGAUACUUAAUGUUCUUGAAGCUGAAACAAAAUUGAACAGCUCUAAUAAAUGGAACUCAACUCCUUUGUGACUAUCCUAUAAAUUUAGCAAUUUGCUUGCUAUUGAAUUCAAGCAACACUACAGAAGUACUCUGCCAGUUGGAACAAGAGGAAUCAUUACCCUCAAAGCUGCAACAUCGGCAAGCUUGAUGUUUAUGUUGCUUCAGGCGUUUUGGUCAUCGUGGUGAGUGGAGCAGUUAUGGCUAGAGAAAUUGAUCCCAUCAAGGCAUACAAUAGUGAAUCGAAGAUGACUUUAUAUUGUGUUAUUGAGGUUUUCGCCAGCAUAUUCAAGAUCAGACUGGAACUGUCAAGUAAGACUGUUGUGACGAACUUGUCAUACUUGGUUCAAUAUGUCAGGCAUUGGUACAGAAAACUCUUCAAAAUCUUAUUUUCAAAAGCAAUGAUAAAUAGGUGAUAUUAUCCAGAAGCACACAAAUAUGGAAUAAAUGCAUUUUAAUUAGCAAUAUUUCACCCAAUCCUUCUCCGCGAGAGAAGGUUGAUACCAUUUCUUCUAAUAAAUGUACACUUGAGAAGCACAAUACUAUCAUAUAUUUUCCAAUUUGCUGCUUUCAUAUUUUGCGCAACAAUAAUGUAGUACAAUGAACCACAACUUCAUGAGAAACUAAAUUAUUGUCGUUCUUGUUAUAUAUCAAACUAUGAUCUUAAACUCAAUAGAAGCCUACCUUAGCAUUCAAUUCAUUUGUGAAAAUUUCUUUCAAUUAAAAAGCAAUUUUUUUAUCGAAUUAAUCAAUUGAAAGGAAAAUGUUUUUUCCUUCACUUUUUCUAGCUAUUGAAAUUAUCCAUAUCAAAUGGAGGACAAUGCAUUCGUAGAAGAAAGAUGAAGAAAGAUUAAAGAAGCGGAAGCUCCAUUAUGAAGUCCUGAUGCUUUCAACAAUAUCUUUCCAGUCUAUACCACAUCACAAACAUUGAAAACAGCAAGGGGCAUGCAGGGAAAUACACAACAAACACAUUAGCAAAUAAAUCCAAAUUCUGUUUCUUCCCCAUUCAAUUAAUUUUUAGAAUCAAUCAAACUCUAUAUAUAGAAGAGAUUUCUGAUGGUCAUCUGAAACUAAACACCUCUACCUAAUAUCUCCCUAAACCAAGGCAACUUUCAGGCGAAUGGGGUUUUCCAUAAGCAAGCAAGCCAAUUAUAUGUCUUUCUCUCAUAUUGCUAAGCUUACUUUCUAUCAGCAAUUUGGUAGCAGCAAGAUUGGUCCAAGCUCAUUACAGCAUAGGGUUUUAACGAUCAGAAUUUGGCAGACCAUUCAUCAAUGCACAAGGUGUCUUGUUCUUCUUCUAAUCCUACUAAUUUCAUUGAUAGAAUGGUUAUCGACAUCCUACUUGGGGAGGUGACGAGAAUGUUGAUG
This 50699-nucleotide long non-coding RNA is filed under the name Theobroma cacao (cacao). RNAcentral's name for it is "long non-coding RNA (TCAC_LNC004251)". Lineage: Eukaryota; Viridiplantae; Streptophyta; Magnoliopsida; Malvales; Malvaceae. The record is from RNAcentral.